UCGGAGCUUCAGAUCUGCAUACAGCUGCAAAUCCAAAGAAAGCCACGCGUUAUCCCUUCCCACCAAGAAGAUAUCCAUUUCCUUGCUAGGGAGUGAAUUAAGACUGACAGGGUGUCGAAGCCUGUGCAAUAAUAAAUACCUGCUCAAACUAAAAUUAAUUUCUGUAGAUAGCGGUGAGCAGGGUCGAAUCCACAGGGACUGGGAGUAAUUGUUUCUUUUCAAGUUCACAGUGACAAGGGGGGUGUUUUUAUGCAGAAAGUGACAAUCAAAUAAAUGCAAAUAAAAUCUAAGAAGCUACUAAAAAUUAAAUAACAAAUUACCAAAAUCAAAUGAAUGAUAAUUAAGGAUCUAGCCAAGGAAUAACUUCAGCAAUGGUUCACCCAAUUGAUCAUCGAUAAGCAAAGGCAAUCCCAAUUAUUUACUAAUAAAUAGGUUAUAACUGCCAAACAAGCGAUGACAGUCAACCCCUCCUUACUGUGUCGAUGAUUAAGGUACGCCCGUUAAUCACUGCUCUAAUUGAGAAAUAAUCCUAGGUACGCCCGUAGAAUUUAAUUCCCCAAUUGCCUUACGUAUUAGAGGAGCCCUAUUCUAAUCAAAUAACGCACUACCAGGGUUAUUUUAGAUUAGCCCGUGUAUUCCCCUGACACAAGUCUAAUUAUGCCAGUUGCCACUAUUUUAGAGCAAUUAAACAAUUACGGAUUUAAUGCCCUAAUUGACAAUAGAUUAUCCAAUCAACUAAUUAUCUGGAUCCAAGACAAUCAAUUAAUUAAAUAACCAUAAACAUAGCAACCAAGAAAUAUGCGGAUACCAAUAAAUAAAAGAAAAAGAUAAAAUUAAAUCGAUCUCACAAAUUUUAGGCGACCCAGAGCCUUCGUUGUCCCUUGACUAGACAAAGGGAUUUAGUUCAUGUUUGCAGAACAAAGCCCAAACAGAAUUGCAGAGAGAGACGCAGCCAUCAAUUGGGCAAAUGCCCAAGUUCAAUUCGUUUGAAGGAGUAAGCUAAGCUAUCCUGCCAUGCGUAAGAAAAGUAAAAAGCAAAGCUCCAGGAAAAGUCAACAAUAAAGCUCCUAAGCUACAGACGAAAGACUAAGCAAAGCCAGCCAUCCUUUCCUCUCUGAAGCAUUCUACUCUAAUGCCUCGCCAUUGUGCGGCGGCUCUCCUCCGAGAGGAGGAAAAUUCGAGAGAGACCCAAGAAGACUUCGGCCUCCUCCUUUUAAUGCUGUCUGCGGGCCAAUUACCAAGAAGGGUUGUGGUUUGAUAUUCCAAAAAUGUCCCUAGAUGCCUGCUACUUGAACUCUUUCUUGAUAAUUGUCAAAUUGGCCUUGAUUGUGAUAUUUUUGUUCUACUCCCUGAAAUAAAUAUAAAUUACGAAAAAUGAGUAGAAUCUAAUAAUUAAUUCAUAUCAAGUUAGGUAAUAGGGGAAAUUAAUAAUAAAAUAAAUGACAAAAUUGCAACCUAUCAAAGACUGUCAAAUUAAGCUUGUCUUGUACCCUUCUGGUGCUAUAUGCUAAUGUACCUGUCAAGCCUCAAGAUUUUUCUUGAUGUACCUUGAUACCAUAAUGAGAUGUAAUUUUUGCACAAUAUCAUCAUAAUCAUCAUUAUCAUUAUCAUUAUCAUUACUUUUAUAAAAGUAUGGUGAAUAUUGGUGCUUUGGAGUGUAAGUACGAUAUUGUCUUAAUCUUUGCACUUCCCAUCAUGCCCUCUUUCUUUUAUUAUGUAAUUUAUUAUAUUUCAUUUAUGGUAAUUAUUAAUAUAAAACCACAUUCCAUUAUUUUUCUAUUAUAAUGGUAAUAAAUAUGAAAAACCUUCUAUCCCAAACUCUUCACCUACUCAUGGUUGUUGAGAAAUAUUAAUAUUAUUGAAAUAGAAUUAUAGUUACAUGUACUGAGAAAAUACACAUCAAAAUAAAAGAAUAAAAACUACAAAUCAAAUUAAAAAAAGAAAAAAAAUAAGCUACAAACAAGAAUAAAAGAAAGGAAUAAAAAAGGGUAAACUCAUCGUCUUUGCUAAUGAAAUUUUAUUUGCUCUACAAAAAUCCACAGCAAAUUAGGAAUACUUAUGGUGGAAUAUUUACAUCUUAUAAUUAACAAACACAACACUUAAAAGAAUGCAGAAAGUUUAUAUUCAAAGAAUUGAUAUUUAAUUAAAGAAUAUGGUAUCUCAUUUCGUUUUAAACAAUUGUGACUAACAAAUUCAAUUCAUAUAAUAUGUGAAAUAGGCAUAGUAGACCUUGUAAACAAUAUGGAUGCAAAGACUUAAGUUUUACUCUGCAUGAAAAUUCAUGUCACUGAAAUUUUUGAACGAAGGAAACUGGUCCUACGUUCGAGUUAUAAAUAAUCAACCAAUUAAAAUUGUUAUAAUUGUACUAUUAGGUACUAUAGUUGUACUAAUAAUCAACCUAUUAUGUUUGUACUAAAAAGAAAUUGGUCCUACAUUCAAAUUACACAACCUAUUAUAAUUGUACUAAUACUAGUUUCAAAAACAUUGUACUAAUAUAAUUUUUUUAGACAAAGAAAAUAAAUAUACAAGAAGGAAUCAAAAUUUAUUGAAAUUAUGUCAAAAUAUUGAGUUUCUGUUCAAAUCUCAUCUUUUCAAUUGUUAAAAUUAGAUGACUUCAUUAGGAUUUCCGCCGUUGAUGUUAAUGACAUAUCUAAAUUUGACUGGUAAAUAAUUUCAUCAAGAGAUCAAGACUAGAGAUGAAAGCACAACAUAAAACAUAUCCUCGAAUAAUAGAAAUAAAAGAAGCCAAUUUAUUUACUCUAAUGCCCUUUUUGAAAUUGAAAGUUUUGUUAUUUAUUUCAUAGAUGUUUAUUAGUUCUAUUGACUACACCAACUUUUAAUAUCUUGAGGUAUGAUCCUUGCUUAACAAUAUUGUUUUGUUUAUGAUAGCUUAUAAUAUUAUGAUUUUAUCUAAUGACACCAUGGGUAUCAAUAUUAUCCAAAAAGCUCAGAAAGCAUUUUGACAAAUAUAAGAUUCAUGAUUUCAAUGUAAAUGAUAUUUUCAAAACAAUAACUUUCAAAGAAAAAGAAAAAGUUUAUGAUGUUAACAAUUUGUAUUUGCCAAAAUAUUUUAGUAUAAAAAAUGGAUUAAUCUUUCCUACACUGACAGUAUAUACACUAUCAGCGUUGGAUGAUUGACAACUAUGUAAAAUUUGAAUUUGAAAUUCAACUUUAGCACACAUGUCAUGAAUCCAACGAUGAUAGUGUAUACACCGUCAGUGUAGGAAAGAUUUAUUCUAAAAAAAUAUAAAAUUUUUGAGACAAUAUAAUCAAAUGCAAAGCCCGUGAGUUUUACUAGUGACUCCUAAUAAAUUUGACAAAACACAUUUGAAACAAGGGAAAAUGAUUAUUGGUCCUUACGUAUCACUGUCUACUAAUUUGGAGAAUGGCCUGUACACUGACUAAAAGAAAGAUUUUACGAAUGAUGACAGACAAGAAUUUGGAAUUUAGAGAACAAAUCUAAUGUGUUUCUAUUUCUAGUAUGCAUUUUUUAGCCAAUCUGCUCAAGGGAGACUGUUUGCUUUCUUUGUUUGUUUCACUUUUACUUCCUUUUUUUUGGGGCUUUUCUAGCGGGUGCCCAUUACCGUUAACACACCUGAAUUCUACCUAAUAUACCAUAUAUAUACACAUUCUAACAAAUAUUAUAUUCCCUUACGUUUAUAUACUUUACUUAAUUAAUUUAACCUUUUCAAAAAUCUAACUCCUUAAGUAUAUCUUAACAAGUGCCCAUUGGGCACACAUACCCUUUUUUUCAAAAAAAGAAAAACAAAAAGAGAUCCACCUUGAGAUGGUGGAAGUUUUGCAUCGAAUUUUUCUAUUUUAUUGAGAAAUACAUCUAUACUAUAUUAAAAGCACAAGUUCGAAUUAGUGGAUUAGUGCGUUAGAUUUCAUAUUUGAUAACAUCCUCAAUAUGUAAGUUCAUAUUAUUUGUUAGCCUUGCCUUAUUUGUGAUAAUUGAAACCAUUUAUUUAUAUAGGAAAAUAUUAUUUGCGCUCCUACAAUUUGUUUGUCAUAUAGUCUAUAAAUGAAAAUUAUAUGAUUAGAAUGAUAGUGGGAGUGUGAUUAACAAAAAUUGGAGUGCAAAGAAUAUUUCGCUUUAUAUAAUGUCAACACUAAAAUCGUUACUUUAGAAGUUAUUUUGAUAUUGAAACAUAUUACCUUAAUUUUCUUGAGGAAUCAAGGUUCGUACAGGAAACCAAUUCAAAGUUCGUAUUUGUAACUUCAUCAGUUAGUUUAGAUUAGACAGCUAAACUUUACUUCACUUGGACGAGGAUGUCUAUCACUAAGUAGGACUCUAGCGUCAAUGGUGUUUUAGAACUUGGAAAAUAAGUGAAGGUAUAUUAGGUUUCACAAAAAAAAGGAAGAAACACUAUUAUAUUAUAUAGUAAUAGAAAUAGAUAGACAGAUGUAUACAAAUUAAAGUUUGUGAUUGAUCAAAUUACUAAGAAUAAUAUAUUACGUAGUAGUGGCAAGACAAAAUGGUAAAAAAUAAGGGAAAUAAUAAUAAUAAUAAUAAUAAAGCGAGAGAGAAAAGAAAUAAAUGGAAAAUGGAAAUAAGUAAAAGAUUAAUGGUAAUUUCAUCCCUAAACAUGAAUUCGGAGGGUAAAUUGAGUAAAUUAACAAGUCUUUAGGAAAGCAAAUUGCAAUAUCUGGGGUAAAGUGAUACGUUACGUCAGGGGACAAUUUUGAGAGCAAACUGUUGGGGGACUUAAUGCAAUUAGCCUUAUUCUUUUUGCGGUUUUGUUUUGUGUAGAACAUUGACACUAUGAUUUGAUCGGGUCUUCUAAUCAGGAUUAACAUCCAAGAUCUGAAUCCCAUGUGAGCUGUAGACAUAUGCUUAUUCUAAUGAGCUCCGUCAGUUAUAGGUGCAAGUAGUUUGGCAUUAGUUAAUUAUCAUUCGACGAAAUUGGUGGCUGAAUAUUAAUUAAUCUAAUCUUUCAAAAUUUAGGAAAAUUUUAUGGUUCCUUUUAGAUAUCAUUUUCUCAACUUGUAUUUCUCACUAAAGAUAGUAAUUGAAAUUUUAAAUAUUUAAUAAUGUUUAAUCUAAGGGCCAAUAACACUUCUUUUACCAUCCAACGGUAAAUUUCACUAAAUUAUAGGUAUGAUACCCAAAAGGAAUUGUAAAAUCUCCCCAAAUUUUUAAUGCUUCUAAAGAGUUGUCUCGUACUGUUUGUUCUUUGAACUUGUCAUAUAAAAUUCACUGUUUUGUCUCUAGUUUCUCAUUCUGGUUGUAAUUAACAUAGCACAUGAUAACUAAACAAAAUCAAUACUCAUAAUAGAAAAGAAAUGUUUUUGUCACGAGGGUGUUGACAUAGUAAUUCAGAAGCAGAGAAUUGCAUGAUUCCCCUUGCAGCUUUUGCAUGCUCCCGUAGAAUAAAGCCAAUUUAAUAACUCCAACUUCCAACCACUGGGCCAAUGGCUCAGUGGCCACCAGGGAGGGAUGUCAGGCUCCGAGCUAGCACCGCCUCAAUGGUGCCUCAAUGGUGGUCGGAUAGUUAGCAGAGGGAAGAGAGAGAAAGGAAAUAAGGAGAGAGAAGAGGAUUAACAGAAAGAAAGGAAGAAUUGGAAAUUGGAGUAUUCAGACAAAAUGAUCUUAACUGCCUUGGUUACAAUCACGUGGGGGUAUUUAUGCAAAUAUGCCACAACCGACUCAAUGAAUACUAACUAACUCUUAGUGAGACGACAACGUUUCUUGGGUUUGUACCCUGUGUAUACCAAACGCUAGUAAUCGUGAAUAAAACGACAAUAGCUAUUAUGCUGAGUCCCUGACAAUUUUCCCCCCUUAAGCAAAGCUUGUCCUCAAGCUUGGAAGUCUGGAAAUUGUUUGUCGAUGAAGUCCUUAUCUUCCCACGAUGAUUCUGAUUCGAGCAGCUGAUCCCACUUCACUAGGUACUGAAUGACUACUUGGGAGUUACGCAGGGUAGCUCUGCUUCUCAAGAUCUUCUCAGGUUGGAGUAGACAUUGAUUAGACGAGUCCCAUGCAGGCAAUACAGGGUCAGUGCUUUGAGCACUCCCAAUCCUCUUCUUUAACAGAGAAACAUGAAAUACAGGAUGGAUCCUAGCUCCAGCCGGUAACUGCAACUUGUAGGCCACCGCCCCCAUCUUAGCAAUGAUUUGGAACGGUCCAUAGUACUUUGCUGUGAGUUUUAAGCUCUUCCGAAUAGCCACUGUUUGUUGCCUAUAGGGUUGCAGUUUGAGAAACACCCAAUCCCCCACUUGAAGUGUACGCUCAGUCCUGUGCCUGUCAGCAAAACUUUUCAUGCGACUUUGUGCCUUUGUCAAAUUUUCCUUAAUGAGUGAUAUGACCUUGAGCCUAUCUUGCACCAUUUUAACUGCAGCUGGUAUAACACUGUCAUGGAAGGGUCCCAAAGGAAUGUGGCUGGGCUUGUAUCCAUAUAACGCCUCAAAUGGAGAGAUUUGUAGACUGGUGUGGAAAUUGGUGUUGUACCAAAGCUCCGCUGUAGGUAACCAGUUACUCCAAUGCGAGGGAUGUUCACUGCACAUGCAUCUAAGGUAGUUUUCCAAACAUUGAUUCACUCGCUCACUUUGACCAUCAGAUUGAGGAUGAUAUGAUGAGCUGUAGUGUAAGCCAACCCCCAGCAAUUGAAACAACUCCUGCCAAAAUUUGCUUACAAAAAUCCUGUUCCUAUCAGAAAUUACAGAUUCUGGUAAACCAUGUAGCCUAUACACCUGGUCAAGGAAGACUUGAGCUAUUUGCUGUGCAGAGAAAGGGUGCGUAAGACGUAUGAAGUGACUGAACUUUGUCAAUCGAUCCACCACUACCAAAAUGGUGUCAAAACCAUGAGAUACGGGCAGCUGUUCAAUGAAGUCCAUUGAUAUGUGUGACCAAGCCUGUUGUGGAACUGGGAUAGGUUGCAGAAGCCCAGGAUAGGGAACAUUCUCAUGUUUGCUCCUUUGGCACACAUCACAAGAUCUGACAAAUGUGACAACAUCCUGCUUGAUUCCAGGCCAGUAGAAUAGAGAUUGUAUCCUGCGCAGGCACCCCCUCUGGCCAGAAUGUCCACCCACUGCUGAAUCGUGCAAGGCCUUGAUCACCUUGUUGCGAAUAUUGUUGGCAGCUCCCACAUAUAGUUUGUCCUUAAAUUUAAGCAUUCCUUUAUCCAAUUGGAAGUCUGUGACUGCCUUGGGAUCCAACAGGAGCUGAGCUAUCUUCUGCUGAGCUUCACUAUCUCCUUCAUAGCUUCCCACCAACUCCUGCAUCCACGCUAGUUGCACUGUGGAGAUUGCACACACAGCCUGGCCUGCUGCAAUGUCCUCGUAGGGUCCUUCAAAUCUCCUCCUUGAUAGAGCAUCUGCUACCCCAUUGUCAGCUCCCUUCUUGUACUGGAUUUCAUAAUCCAACCCUAAUAACUUGGUGAGCCAUUUGUGUUGCAGAGGGUGGGUGAGCUUCUGCUCCAGCAAGUGUUUGAGGGCCUAGUGGUCAGUCUUAAUGACAAAAUGGUGACCGACCAAGUAAUGCUUCCAUUUGGUUACAGCUAGUACCAAGGCAAAUAACUCCUUCUCAUACACAGAUAACCCCAAGUUCUGGCUAGAUAAAACUUUGCUGAGGAAUGCGAUAGGGUGACCCUGUUGCAUCAAUACUGCUCCAAUCCCCACUCCACAAGCAUCCGUCUCUAUUGUAAAAGGAAUACCAAAAUCUGGCAUGCUCAGUACUGGGGCUGUGGUCAUGGCUCUCUUGAGGUCUUCAAAAGCCAUCUGAGCAUGGUGGUUCCAUCCAAAGUUCUCCUUCUUCAAUAGCUGAGUCAAAGGUUUGCAAAUCAUGCCAUAUCCCUUUAUAAACCUUCUGUAGUAUCCAGUCAGCCCCAAGAAGCCCCUGAGUUCCUUAACUGAGUUGGGGAUUGGCCAUGACAGGAUACACUCCACCUUUUCUGGAUCCAUGCUAACCCCUACCUCAGAAAUCACAUGCCCCAAGUAUUCCAUAGAUGUCUGAGCAAAAGAACAUUUUGACUUCUUGCAAUAUAACUGAUUAUCAGCUAGGACCUGGAGUACAAUUUUCAGGUGCUGUGCAUGUGACUCUAGAGUGGGACUGUAGACCAGUAUAUUGUCAAAGAAAACUAACACAAACUUCCGCAGGAAUGGCUGAAAGAUUCGGUUCAUCAAGGCCUGAAAUGUGGCUGGGGCAUUUGUGAGGCCAAAAGGCAUCACCAGAAAUUCAAAGUGUCCAUGGUGUGUUUGAAAUGCAGUCUUAUGAGUGUCUGCCAACUUGACUCUCAACUGAUGGUAUCCUGCCCUGAGGUCCAACUUAGACAUAUACUUAGUGCCAUGCAACUCAUCUAACAGUUCAUCAAUGUUGGGAAUGGGAAACCUAUCCUUGACAGUCACUUCAUUUAGUUUUCUGUAAUCUACACAUAAUCUCUAGGUGUUAUCUUUUUUUCUCACCAACAAGACAGGGGAAGCAAAAGGACUGGUACUGUGUUUAACAAUCCCAUUCGUAAGCAUUUCUGCAACCUGUUUCUCAAUUUCUGCUUUAUGUGAGUGAGGGUACAUGUAAGGUUUGAGUUUAAAUGGCUCUGCUCCUAGUUUGAGAAUGAUUUGGUGAUCCAGCUCUCUUUCAGGAGGUAAUCCUGUGAGGGUAGUAAAUAUUUGAGGAAAUUGCUGCAGGACCUGUUCUACCAACUCCGGAAUGCUCCCUUUAAGGUCCUUAGUGGAGUUUGCCUGCAGGUGUGCACAACUCCUCUUUUUCUCCUGGAUGAAAGACCGAAGGUCCCUACCCCUUACAAGCUCCAUUGUAGGCUGAUUGAUGAACCCCUGGAGGUGAAGUAACUCCCCUCCAUUGCUGAGUGCAAUGCUGAGGGUAUGGAAAUCGAAAGUGAUUGGGCUGAACUGGCACAUCCAGUCCACCCCCAGGAUAAUGUCCCAACUCCCCAGCUCCAUUAUUUUCAUGUCGAACUGGAAAUGGUAUUCUUGUAUCCUCCAAGCCACUUUAGGACAUGCUCCCCCACUGGUUAUGUCUGUUCCAUUUGCUAGGGUCACAGUGAAAGGAUUCACAGCUUGAAAGGGUAGCUGCAAUAAGGUAACAAGUCUGUGGUUGAUGAAGCUGUCAGAACUCCCAGUGUCCACUAAGAUUUUAACUGGCAAGCCCCCUAUACUGCCAAUUAACAUAAUCGACUUCCUCUGAAUGGCCCCAGACAAGGCAUUUAAUGUCACUUCCGCCAUCUCUCCAACUCUACCCGUGAGUUCAUCCUGCUUCCCUACUGCAUCCUCAAACUCAGUGUCAUCUCCUUCCUCCACACUUAGGCAGUUCAGGCCUUUUGGCCUACACUGGUGCCCCAACCCAAACUUCUCCCCACAUCGGUAACACAGGUUAUUCUUGCGUCUGUAUUGCAACUCCUCUACUGACAGUCUUCCAACUUCCUUAUGUGCAAUUUCAGUCCUUCUGGUAUUGGGAGUUAUUGCAGGUAGCCUGUAGGAACUCGGCAUGUUUUGUUCGCCAGUUUGACCUUUGUACAUCCCAUACUUAGGCUCCAGAGCAAUCUUGCCAGAGGCUUUGGUCUGCUUACAUUGCAUCUCCAAUGCAUACUCUUGUAAUUCCGCUACUUCAAAUGCCUUGGACAAUGCCUGUGGUUUAAACAUCUUCACCAUAGGUUUAAUCUCCUCUUUCAAUCCACUGAUAAAACUAGAGAUGAAGUAGGAUUCAUCUAGUUUGGGAUUCUUAGUCAGCAUUAAAGUUUUUAAGUCUUCAAAUUUCUCCUCAUAUUCCUCCAUCGUCCCUACUUGCUGUAGUUUGUUAAAUUCCUCCACUAUGUCAAGAGACCCCUUUCCCGAGAACCUCUCACAUAGCAACUCACUAAAUUCCUCCCAAUUCAGUCCAGGAUUCACUAGUUUCACCCCUUGGAACCAGUUGUCAGGUUUGCCUUCUAAGAACAUUUCUACUACGUCCACUCUCUGGCAGGCAGGUAUUUGGUAAUUCAAAAAAUAUUUAUGGCACUUCCUAAGCCAUUCCCUAGGGUUCCCAGCUGAGUACAUUGGCAAUUCUAAUCUAGGCAAAUUAGGAGUGAACAUUCUACCUCUGAACUCCUGCUAAUGUUCGGCCGUGUCUGCCUGAGUCGGCAGCCGGAGGUGCGAGGGCGGUGUGGGCAGAAGAGGUUCACCAGAUCCUCCUUCAUUCUCUUGGACUCCUUUGUCCUUCAACAUCACCUUCAUUAGUGCAUUGAACUUCUGCUCCAACUUGCCGAACUUCUGGUCCAAAUUUCCCACCACUGCCUCCAUUCGCGAGUUACUCUUUUCCAUCUCCUCCUGGAGCUUCUGCCGUGACUCAUUCUGCCCGGAGGUAUGCAGAGCGGCCAUGGAUUCGGCCAGUUCCUGGAGUCUGAUCUCCUGCUUCUUCAUCUGGUCCUCCAGAACUCGGUAUCUUGUGCUUUCCGUCAUGAAAGUUUUUUUUUUAUAUAGCAGCCAAGGAUCGGCUGCUCUGAUACCAACUGUCAGGCUCUGAGCUAGCACCGCCUCAAUGGUGCCUCAAUGGUGGUCGGAUAGUUAGCAGAGGGAAGAGAGAGAAAGGACAUAAGGAGAGAGAAGAGGAUUAACAAAAAGAAAGGAAGAAUUGGAAAUUGAAGUAUUCAGACAAAAUGAUCCUAACUGCCUUGGUUACAAUCACGUGGGGGUAUUUAUGCAAAUAUGCCCCAACCGACUCAAUGAAUACUAACUAACUCUUAGUGAGACGACAACGUUUCUUGGGUUUGUACCCUGUGUAUACCAAACGCUAGUAAUCGUGAAUAAAACGACAAUAGCUAUUAUGCUGAGUCCCUGACAAGGGACUUAAGUCCCUCCUUGGGCUGUUGGUGAGGUUGAACCCUCACCAGUAGCGAAAAAAAUCUAAGGGUUGUGCCAUAGCAUUCCCUUGAUCUAGUUGGAUCUGUAUCCCCACUAGCCCCUAUAACAGCCUCCUUAGGCUCCCCCUCCCCCUAGAUUAGGAUAGAGUAAGUUAUACAAAUGUAUCGUUGCUGACAAAAAAAAAAAAAAACUCCAACUUCCAAUUUGCAGCAGAAGUAUCCAUUUAAAUGCCAGAGUUCAUAAACUGUUACAUAAUCCUAGUAGAUUCAAGCUUCAAUGGUAGACUUUGAAACCAGGAAGUGCCUAACUUCUAUAACAUAUUAGUAUUCUAAUGUCUUUUCCGAUGAGGAGAGGGGAGGGAGGGAACAAACUAAGAAAGUAACUAUGGGCACUGCAUUCCACUCUACCUGUUAAGUGUCAAGAUUUUCAUUUUAAAAAAUCUUGACACCAAGAAGGAUAUCUUUAACGAGUUGUAAUUUUCUCACGACUUCAUUCAUGUGCAUCCGGUCAUUUGGUAAUCUUGCAGAGCACUUUAGUCCAAUUUUCAACAGUGAGACAAGGCAUUCCAUCUGUCUUCCACCAUUAUUUACUUCCUCUCCUACAGCCAUUUCUCUGUUUUCUUCUCCUGUUGCAAUAAGCACUGGAUCCACAAUCUUGGAAAGUUGUUCAGGCAUAGCCAUAUUGACAUAAUUGUACAAAUCCAAGCCAUCAGUAAACAUAUCAUCUGUUGGCCUCCGCUCUGUAAUCAUCUCCAGUAAUAGUAUCCCAUAGCGGGCCAUAGCUAUAGACAUCACCCUGAGUCGAUGCUGCGAGACCCGUUCUGUACUCUGGAAUUUUGUUACAGAAGUUUAAGUUGUGCAGUUCAGUAUUCUAGAAUGAAGAAAAACCUCUAAUGAAAAAUAAACAAAAAUGAACAGUUCUGAUCAAACAUGAUAUAGAAUAGAAAUCUAACUCGCCAAGUAAAAACUAAGGGUCGAACAAAUUGAAAGGCCUCAAUUCUACUUGCAUUGAGCCACAGUAAAAUUACUCAAAUUGCAGUUGAGCUCGUUGAAAUCAUGUCGACUUCUCCUUUAUAUUAACAUUGCAUAAAUCUCACUGAAUUCCUUUUCUGUCUCGUUUUUAAGAGGAUAACUAAGAGCUAAAACAAUCUUGUUCACAGAGAAAACCUUGGCUUUUAAGACAAAAACUUAAGAGGAUAUCAUUGUAAUUGAUUUAACUCAGAAAAGAAAACAAGAAAACUAUGACUUAUCCUAAAUAUUUGAGGUCUUCUAACUCAUUCUACCAUGUGAAGUGCCAAUUUUAUUUCACCAACCGUCUUUGGUUGUUGACAUUCUAACACGUAUUCAGCAUCUUGAUUGUGUAUGAACAACCCAUCCCUCUUUGUGUUUGACAAAUUAACAGUCAUACAUUGUAAAAUCUACUCAAGUUUGAAGUUCUGUUGCUGAAGUUAGGGAGUAGUUAGAUAACGGAAUAUUUCAAUAAAUAUAAUACCUGGAGCAGCAUAUCCGAUAGAUCCUUUUAAUAAAACAAAACUGCUAGUUCCUUCCUCCACAAAAGUAAUAGCAGUUCUUGGAAGAAGCCUUGCUAAUCCGAAAUCGCCCACAUGAGCAACAAGAUCAUUGUCAACAAGAAUGUUACUUGGUUUUAGAUCACAAUGAACAACAGUUGUUUCACUUUGGUUGUGAAGAUAGUGCAAUGCUGAAGCAACAUCAGUUGCAAUAUUUAGCCUCUGAGAAAGAUCAAGACUCCUUAGUCUUGUUGUUUGAUCAGCUUUCUCUGGAUGCUGCCACAAGUCAAGAUCUCCAUUUUCCAUAAACUCAUAGAUGAGAGCCUUGAAUUCGUGGCCCUUGGAAUCGAUGCUGGAGCAAUAACUUAAGACAGAUACUAGAUUUCUAUGGCGGAUGUUUCUUAAUGCUUUGCACUCAGCCUUGAAGCUUUUGGAACUCCCAAUUUUCUGAAGGUCAAGAACUUUAAUUGCAACAAGCAUACCUCCAUGUUUAUCAAGUCUGCCAUUGCAAACAACACCAAAACUUCAGGAGCCAAUUAAGUUUUCUGGAGAAAAUCCAGAAGUGGCAUGACGGAGUUCUUCAUAAGAAACUCUUAAGAGCUUAUCAGCCAUUGUGACCAUUCUUUUGUUUCUUUUCCCGUAUACCACAGAACAGAACAACAAUGUAGCAAGAACAAUACACGUGAAAGCUGGUAUUAAAAAGUGUCAGCUCAGUAAUGAAGAACUUAUACGAUCCAUGACAAUGAACUUAUAAACAAGUCCAGAGACGAAAUAGGUUUAUGAAUAUCUAUUGUGAUCUUCUGCAUUAUGGGAAGGCACAAUUAGAAGUUAAAUUCCUAAUGUUUUGCAUUAUGGACUAAUUAAUUUUCACCUCCACUUCAUUAACCAAAAAAUUAUAAUCAAAUUAAAAGUUGUCUUCAGCCAAUCUAUCAUUGAUACUUUGUUGAGCCGAAGUAAGUGCAUCUCUGUAAAAUUUUAUCGAAGCGGAUAGUUGCGAUUUUUUUUUAAAAAAAAAGAAAAGGAAUUUCGCGAAUUAUGCACAUUCCAAUGGGAUUAAUCUGAAAUGCCGGUUUAAAGGUCUUCUUACCAAGUCAAAAAAGAUGUACUGUGCAAUGUCUUAAAUCUUAAUGACUACGGGCCAUUAUUUAGACCUGCUUGUACAAGAAGUGAACUCCGUAGUCAUCUUCCAGAGAUGAUUGACAGGAACCCUUCUUUUGUGUGCAAUACUUGAUCUUCCCAAUUAAUACAAACCACAAGAAUGGUGAUAUGCUAGAAUCUGUCGGUUGGCUUAUGCGAGUUCUGUUCAAACCAUGGUACUGGAAGAAGGGAAAAUGGUUAUUGGUUCUUCACAUAUCGCCAAUUAAAAAAAAUGGAUUUUAUGGAGGGGUGGCAAUUUCCGACACGAUUUGAAAACACGACAACAACCUAACACGAAAUUAAUGAGUUUGGGUUAAGACUUUGUAGGUUCGGGUCAGAAUCGAGUCGAACUCAAUGAAUUAGAAAAGAAAAUAGGUCGAAUUCGGGCCAAGCGAACUCCGUACUCAUUCUGCUGUUUUAAUGUUGAUGUACCGGACCUGCUUGUACAAGAAGCAAACUCCGUAGUCGUUCUGCUGUUUAAUGUGAUCAUCUACCAGAGAUGAUGAUUAACAGGAAGCCUUCUUUUGUGUGCAAUACUUGGAUCUUCCCAAUUAACUCAGAACACAAGAAUGUUGAUAUGCUAGAAUCUGUCGGUUGGCUUAGGUGAGUUCUGUUCAAACCAUGGUAUAGGUAGUUGGGUUGGGGUGGACAAUAGCCCACAAUAUGACUAUUAUAAACCUUGACACAACAAACUUGGAAGAAGGGAAAAUAGUUAUUGGUUCUUUACGUAUCACCAUCUAUCAAUUUGAAAAAUGACUUAUACGCCUAUUAAAAAAAUGGGUUUUACGAAUGAUGACAGACAUGAAUUUGGAAAUCAGAUCAUAAAUCCAACAUGUUUCUUUACGAAUGGGUUAAUUUUUUUUUUUUCCAAGAAGUCCAUCUUGAGAUGGUAGAGAUUUUGCAUAUAAUCCUUCCAGUUUGUUGAGAAAUAAAUGAAAUUAAAAUGAUUGAGCAAACGUAAACGCCUAAUUUUCCAAAUUACAUUUCAAUCUUCUCCGUGACAAGGGGCUUUGGCUUAGCAACGAGACCAAGUGCUGAAUCACUUGUUCAAGCUACUAUUUCUUCUGCCUAUGCAUUUACUUCUCUAUUUAUGUUUUUUUUUUUUGUUCAUUUUUUACUUUUUCCUUUUAAUUGAACAAUAAAGUCCAUGAAGCCAGUUAAAACUUGGAAUUAAUAACAAAGUUCUUUUCAUUUUCAUUUUUUUGUUCAUCAAUAAAGAGAGGGUCAGUUUGUAGUCAAAAUCCGACUGUUUUAAAUCUUGAAACAUGCAUUAAUUAUCCACUAAAUCAUAAGCUCAUUCUCAUUUAGCAAACAACUCCGCAUUCUGCUGUAAAUUCAAGGUAGAAAUUCUUUCCAAUUAUCACAGUGCAGAGGCCCCGUCCUGGGCUUGUACACGUGGCAGCCCAGGGUCGAUCCGAGAUGGGCUUGCGCCCCGGGCCCAUGGGGAACCAGCCCAGGGCACACGGCGACUAGGGCUCCGGGAGGCUCCCGAGAGCUACCCCGCAGAGGGCGGGGAGAAUCCCCCUCAGCGCGGGAUUGGGAGCCAUCCAAGGCAAGUCCAGGAACGUACGGAGGUCGGACUCCUAAACGGGUAUAAAUGGUAACACAUACCAACUGUACAAGGUACGCUCACUAUUGGCAAUUCACUCCCGACUGCUUUUUUGUUAGUACACCCCCCACUCACCGGAAAACUAACUUGACCGUCGGAGUGCCCUCGGGGACAACCUUAGGGCCCCUGCCAGUUUACUUUCCUGUCUAUCUUUCAGGCCUUGGACGCGCUCUUUCCGCCAUCAAGCCGAGCUCAUCAGGUCAGCUCGGUCCGGGGAAGUUCCGUACUUCUUCAGUUGGCGCCGUUUGUGGGAACGAAGGUACGAGUGUUUGUGUUGAUGGCGAGAACGCGUUCCAAGCGAACCGUGGAUAACACUGAUCCCGAAACCGGCGAGGGGUCCCGGCGAAUGGAGACCGAGGCGGCCCGAGGCGCCGGGGGCUCGGCCCUUUCAGGGGAACGGAGGCAGCAGAUUUAUCAGUUUGUAACCGAGAAUCUCCCCAUGCUGGAAGACAUAAUCCGGCAGGCGAAGGAGGUGGUGAAGCCGGCGGUGCGCAGACCUCUAAGGCGAAGGGGAAGGAGAGGGACGCGAUUCCCUCGGAGAACGAGUCCCGGGACCAGCCCCCUAGGAGGAAAUGACAGCGGACUCCUCCCAGACCGCGUGCCUCGGUGGUCGGGGACAGUGAGAGAUAUUCUCGCGACCGGUCCGCUGGGGGUCAACUGAGGAAUCCCUCAUCGUAGAAACUUGCGCGGAACGAGGCGGAGCGCUCCCCCGCCCGGUCUAUCAAGAGCCGGCCGCGGGACCCUCCCCAAUGGCAGCCCGUCCGAGACGAGCUCGAGCAGAUCCUGCGACCACAACUGUACGAGUACAACUAUGCAGCCUCGCUCUUCACCCGAAAGAUAGAGGACUACCCGUUAUCUCGGAGGUUUAAAAUCCCGAACAUCGAGCUGUACGAUGGCUCGACUGACCCGGAAAACCACCUCUCGGUCUUCCUGACGCACAUGCGUCUACAAACCGCCGCGGAUGCACUCCGUUGCAAGACCUUCCCCAUGUUUCUGAAGGGUAAGACCCGACUCUGGUUCCAGGGCCUAGCACCGGGGUCUAUCCGGAGUUUCACCGAGCUGGCCAGACAGUUCGCCGCCCAGUUCGUCUCCUCGAAAAUCUACUCGAAAAAUGCGGCUCACCUGAUGGCCAUCAAGCAGAAGCCGAACGAAUCCCUGAAGAAUUUCAUGACGCGCUUCAACACAGAAAACCUGCAGAUCAGGGACAAGGAUGAAAAGGUGGUCAUGGCUGCCUUUAUGAACGGGUUAAGGGUAGAGGAGCUCUACUACAAACUUGUCGAACAUCCCCCCAAGAAUCUGGGAGAGCUCUUGACCCGGGCUCACGCCGUCGCCAACGCAGAGGAGGCCGGCCGCCUGAAACGAGAGUUAGAUCGGAAACUCGGGGACCGGAGAGGACGGGGAAACCCCUCCGAGAGUAAGGAUGCCCCGGCCAAGAAGAAUGUGUUUGAUCGGCUCUCGAAGGAAAAAGCCCCUGCUCCGCCACCGAUCCCGGAGAAAGGCUAUACCUCCCUAACUCGACCCAGGGCCCAGAUCCUGGCUGUCAUGGAGGCAGAGGGCCUGGGAGACCGGCCGCCUAAAAUGGGCACACCUCGGAAUAAGAGGAACCAGGAUCGGUACUGUGCCUUCCACAGGGACGUCGGGCAUGAUACUGAGGGGUGCUGGGCCCUAAAGAGGGAAAUCGAAGACCUUGUCCAACGCGGUUUCCUGGGGCGAUUUGUGCGGCAAGGUCAACCGGGCCAGGAGCGCGGACGUGCCUACCGCGAAGAGAGGGACGAAGGUUACCGCCGAGACCGCCCUGAGCGGUGUGACGCGGCCCGAGGCUACUCCCCCGACCAGGGCACUCAGAACCUGGCAGGGGUCAUAAACACCAUAACUGGGGGUCCCACGGGAGGAGACAGCCAUACAGCCCGGAAGAACAGGCGGCCUCCCCCUGACGGAGAUGAUUCAUUGAAGCGUCUGCGUAUGGAUGAGGAGAUCACCUUCGGACCGAGGGACGCGGUUCCCUUGGCAGCCGGAAAUCAUGAGGCUAUCGUAAUAGACGUCGUCACCAAUAAUUACCGGGUGAAGAAAGUGUACGUCGAUCAGGGAAGUGCAGUGGACAUCCUGUUCUACAGGGUGUUCAAGGAGCUCGGCCUGGAGGACGGACAGCUAACCCCUGUUUGGACACCUCUGGUAGGCUUUACCGGACCGCCCAUCAAUCCGGAAGGGAUGAUUACCCUGAUGGUCACGGUAGGCCAGGCGCCCAGAUGCCGGACCAUCCCUGUCAAUUUCGUGGUGGUUAAGUAGCCAUCCCCUUACAACAUAUUCCUAGGUCGGCCCGCUUUGAAUGCCCUCCGGGCGAUUCCCUCCACGCUCCACCUCAGCGUCAAAUUCCCCACCCCGGGGGAGUUGCCGAGGUACAUGGAGAUCCGGAGGUGGCCCGAGCUUGUUACCUCGUCAUGCUCCGGGGACACGAGAAGGUGGUCGCUCAGGCGACCAGCUUGGAGCCUUACAUCCCGGGGGAGGAGGACCGGCAGCUGAGCACUCAGGAUGAGAUCGAGGAGUUUCCACUGAGGGAGAACAGGCUUGACCAGAUAAUCCGUAUUGGUGCGUCGCUACCGCCCAGAGAAAAGGAUGACCUGAAGGCCCUCCUAAGGGAGUACGUCCAGGUUUUCGCUUGGACGGUAGAGGACAUGCCUGGGAUCCCGACCGACCUGGCCGUCCACCACCUCAACAUAGACCCCCGCUUUAAGCCGGUGAAGCAGAAGAAGAGGAACUUCGCCCCGGAGAGAAAUGAGGUGAUCAGAAAGGAGGUCGGAAAGCUGCUGGAAUCCAAAAUCAUCAUGGAGGUCUACUACCCGACCUGGCUAGCCAACCCUGUUCUGGUCAAGAAGAAGGAUCAGUCCUGGAGGAUGUGCGUUGACUUUACAGAUCUCAACAAAGCCUGCCCGAAGGACUGCUUCCCCUUGCCAAGGAUCGACAGGUUAGUAGAUGCUGCUGUUGGUUUUGAUGUUUUGUAUUUCCUGGAUGCUUUUAAGGGAUACCACCAGAUAGAGAUGGCCGAGGAGGAUCGGGAAAAAACAUCGUUCAUCACUGAGGAAGGAACUUACUGUUACCGAAUGAUGCCAUUCGGGCUAAAGAACGCCGGAGCUACUUACCAGCGCUUGGUCAAUAAAUUAUUCCAGAACCAGAUCGGUAGGAACAUGGAGGUCUAUGUGGACGACAUGAUCGUCAAGAGCAGAGCAGGACCACAGCUCGUCCCCGACCUGAGGGAGAUCUUGAGCAUCCUCUGGGAGAGUCGGAUGCGGUUGAACCCGAAGAAGUGCACCUUCGGAGUUAGGUAGGGCCGGUUCCUUGGUUUCUUGGUCUCUCGAGAAGGGAUCCGGGCCAACCCCGAAAAACUCCAGGCCAUUAUGGACAUGGCCCCUCCCCGGAAUGUGAAGGAGGUCCAGCAACUCACGGGAAGGAUGGCCGCCCUGAAUAGGUUCCUCUCACGGUCCACGGUGAGGGGGCUCCCCUUCUUCCGGAUCCUGAAAGCGCCCAAGGACUUUCAUUGGACCGAGGAGUGCCAGAAGGCUUUCACUGAUCUGAAGGCGUAUUUGGCCGAGUUGCCCACCCUGACCGUCCCGGAGUAGGGGGAAACCUUGUUCCUGUACUUGUCCGCUUGCAGCGAGGCCGUCAGCGCGGUUUUGGUGCGCGAAGACAGGGGUCUCAAAGGCCAAUAUACUAUGUUAGCCGCGCCUUACAAGAUCCGGAAACGCGAUAUACGCCAGCAGAGAAAACUGGUCCUCGCCCUGGUACAUGCUGCCCGGAAGCUCCGACCUUACUUCCUGGCCCACAGCAUUGUGGUCAUGACCGAUCAGCCUUUGCGACAGAUUCUCACAAAACCUGAGAUCUCGGGGAGGAUGACUAAGUGGGCCGUCGAGCUCGCCGAGCACGACAUCGGCUACCAGCCCCGCACCGCCAUCAAAGCUCAGGCCCUAGCAAACUUCCUCGCCGAAGGAGCCAGUCUGUCCACAACUGAGCCGUGCGCCCUGGCAGAGGAGGCCAGGCCGGAAGAGCCUUGGGUACUGUUCGUAGACGGGGCCUCCAGCAAGGAAGGAAGCGGAGCAGGCCUGCUACUCACCUUGCCCACAGGGGAAGAGCUGACCUACGCACUUAGAUUCGACUUCCCGACAUCCAAUAACGAGGCUGAGUACGAAACCCUACUGAUAGGAUUGCGGAUAGCCCACCAGAUGGGUGUGACUGCGAUCAGGGUCCGGAGCGACUCUCAGCUCGUCGUCUACCAAGUUCGCGGGGAAUACGAGGCCAAGGAGGAGGUCAUGAAGAAGUAUCUGGCCAAGGUGCAGGAGGCGACAGCCCUGUUUGACACAUUUGAAAUCGAGCGGGUGCCUAGAUCGCAGAACAAGCGUGCAGACGCCCUGUCGAAGCUGGCAUCCUCCUCGUUUGCGCACCUGAAUAAGGAAGUUUUUGUAGAGGUGGUAAAGCAGAAAAGUAUCGACCAGGUCCAGGUCCUGGCAAUAGACAGCUCGACCACCUGGAUGACCCCUCUUGUAAACUUUCUCAGCUCGGGUGCCCUCCCUGAGAACAAAACCGAGACUCGCCGGAUCCAGCUCAAAGCUGCCAAGUACGCCUACGCCGGGGGAACCCUCUACAGGAGAUCAUACUUAUCUCCCUGGCUAAAGUGAGUGACUCCCGAGGAGGGUGACUACGUCCUUCGCGAAAUCCACGAAGAGAUAUGUGCGGCACAUGUGGGGUCCCGGGUAUUGGCCAAAAAGUGCCUUCUUUUGGGCUACUAUUGGCCCUCCGUCUUCCGAGAUGCCGUAGAACUGGUACAGAAAUGCCGAGUUUGCCAGGUGCACGCCCCACUGCGCCACCACCCAGCUAGGGAAAUGAUCCCCAUCGACUGUCCCUGGCCCUCCGCUCAAUGGGGGAUAGACCUUCUGGGUCCUUUCCCCGGAGCCCCGGGUCGAUAUGAGCACCUCGUGGUGGCCAUCGACUAUUUCACAAAGUGGAUGGAAGCCGAACCCCUGACCAUUAUCUCCGGUAGAGCAAUUCAGAAGUUCUUCUGAAAAAACAUAGUCUGCCGCUUCGGGAUCCCGCAUGUUUUGAUAUCCGACAACGGGCGACAGUUUGCUGAAAAUCCCUUCAAAAACUGGUGCGCUGAGCUAGGGAUUAACCAGCACUUCACCUCGGUUGGACACACCCAGGCCAACGGUCAGGUAGAGAAUGUUAACCGAACAAUUCUGCAGGGGUUAAAGACUAGGUUGGAGCUAGCCCAGUCUAAUUGGCUAGAAGAACUACCUAGCGUCCUCUGGGCUUACCGCACCACGCCCAGGACGACCACCCACGAGACCCCGUUCUCUUUGACCUACGGAGUAGAGGUGGUGGUACCCGCGGAGAUUGGUCUCCCCUCGCCCCGGACACAGAAUUUCGUUGCGACAACCAACGAGGAAGAGCUGAGGUACAACUUGGACACGCUGGAGGCUAAGCGUGAGGAGGCGGCUGUACGGAUGGCUAAGUACAAGAGUCAGCUCGCCCGCUAUCAUAACGCCAAAGUGAGGACCAUACAGUACCAGCCAGGGGACCUUGUCCUAAGGAAGAACUUGGUCAGCCGGGCACAUGGCUCCAAUAAGCUCGACCCCAACUGGGAAGGCCCAUAUCUGGUCCUAGAAGCAAGCCGCGCUGGCUACUGCAAGCUCGCGAAAAUAGAUGGAUCAGAGGUACCCCGCACUUGGCACUUCUCCAAUCUACGACUGUUUGUAGCGUAGGAUUAGACCAGGGUAUUCGGUUGUCUGUUCUUUGGAAUUCGAAUUUCAGUUUCAUCAUUCAAUAAAAGCUCGACUGCCAAGUUGUGAUUUUAUUUGUACUUGUUUGCUUUUUUGAGUUUGAAUCUUACACUAGCACACUUAGCGUUCCCUCCCUAAAUGUCCUAGUGGGGGGUUAGGGGUUAGUGAUGGAUGCGGGAGUGCUCGGCCCCAGGAGGUCGGUACUACUGGAAAACUUUGAAAGAUUCUGAAAAUUCCACGCUCGACCCAGAAGGUCGGCGGGCGCCAUUGCGAGGUGCGGGUCGGCACUUCUGAAAAUUUGUAAGGUGCGAUGCUCGACCCCGAGAGGUCGGCACUGAUUAAAACUUCCAGGUGAAUGAUCGACCCCAAGAGGUCGGCAAGGGUUAAAGCUGGGGAGUCUGAGAGCACGACGCUCGGCAACGAGAGGUCAGCAUAGAGCGGACUAUGUUUGGUCUGAUGGGAUUCAAGGUUCGACGCUCGACCCAGGAGGCCGGCACGAACACCUUCAAGGUCGGACGCUCGACCCAGGAGGUCGGCGGGAAAAAUCCUUAAGGAUUUGGUGCUCAGCCCCAAGAGGCUGGCACGUUGCCCUGGUAGGACGGCGUGGUGCUCGACCCGGGAGGUUGGCACAGGUUUUCGACAAUCUGGUUCGCUCUAAUGAUUUAGUUGUUAGGUUAACGGGGGUAUGCAUUUGGUGCUCGACCCAGGAGGUCGGCACCUGGCUUUGGUUGUUGCAGUGGGGUGCAGGAAAGAAUUGCAAGGAAGUAUCCUUCGAAUUUCGUAUAUGCAUUCAAAGCCUAUCUAUUACAAAACUUCCAGCCUAUCUAUUACAAAGCCUACCGAGCUAUACAAGGAAAGGGGGACCUAACUACGCCUUCUUCUUGCGGGCGACCUGCUGGAGGUAGGAGUUGAAGGUACACCUUAAGCAUGUUGAGAGGUAGGAGCUGAAGGCGCACCUUAAGCCUGUUGGGGGGUCGGGUGGAGAAGGCUAUUAAAAAGGACCUGGGGAGCCUUUCCGUCUCAGAUGGACCUUCAAGAGCAUUUUCAACUGGAACAUGAUCACAUCCUUAUAAGGAGACGGAAAGGGUUUCUGGAGUGGCCGCUGCCCUAGGCCACAGGCUUCUUCCCGGAAGCCCUGCCAGGAGUCUCCUCCUCCUCCAGGGGAAGUUCCGCCAGCUCGGCCCCCACGUCGCUCCUUCCCAUCAGAUCUUUCAGGGCAUGCCCUUUGCGGUACCCAUCGAAAAGCCAGUCCAGCUUCUCCUCGGCCGCAGGAUUGUAGUCCUUGAAAUCCGUCCAGUUGAAUCCGGGUGGGUUGAGGCCCUUCACCUUGUCCAGGGUCCGCGUGGCGCCGAUCUGGAAGAUGGGCUGGUUGAGGCAGGCCACGUCCUCGGCGAACUGGUCGGAGGAGAUGAAGUCCCAGACAGCCUUCUUGCGCUCCCGGCUGACGGUGCCAGAGAGCUCAAUGGCGUGCCCCUCCUUCGGCUUCGCCACGCCCUUCUUCUCUUGGUCCAGCUCGGACCGUGUGGAGGCGAGCUGGACCUGGGAGUCCUCCAGUUCCUUCUCAACCUUGCCCAACUUGGUCUUAAGGGAGUCUACCUCCUUAAGGGCCUUGACCAGCUUCUGCUCGGCCUCCCGAUUCUUCUUUUGCAUAUUCUCCAAGCCGGGAGACAGUUCGGAGAAGCGGGUCACCAGGGCAGCACCAGCGGCGUUGGCCUGGAGAGACGAGAGUAAGAGUUAGUAUAUUGCUAGCCCCAUUCGGAGAAAAGAAACAGGGACCCAAGGGGUCUAAAAGGGAAAGGGCUUACUUGGGUUUGGGCGGUGUAGUACAUGUCUUGGAGCUCGGACGGGUUGGCCAGCUCCAUCCACUUCUUGUCGCGUGGAAGGACUGAGCCCGUGACCAGCUCGCGAGCCACCUCGGGGAAGUGGGCUCGGUCAUUGAUGGAGAGCUCCUAGGACGGGCAGAAGCGCCGGGGAUCGUGCAUCGUGGGGGCCUGCCCCCGUUUCGUGGGGGCCACGUGGCGGAAAUGCCACAAGCUCGGGGGGGCGCUCUCUUGGGCGUGCUCCUCCGUGGAGCCUACCCCCAGGUGGACAGGGCCCCCAGACGUCAGCUGGAGAGGGCGCUAUGCUGGGCACUGCGCAGGUUUCUUCGCAGGCUGGGAAGGCUCGUCAUCUCGCCCCCUCUUCUGCUCCGUGACCUUCUUUUUGCCGGGGGCCUGCUUGGAGGGGGACUGAGCUUGAGAGGCCUCCUUCUGGGGGGUCGAACCGCCCCCAGGGGUCGCAGAGGCCUCAGGGGCCUUCUUCGCCGCCUCAAGCUGGGUGGUGGAGGCGACCUCCUCGGUUGACACACCCAAUAGCCUGAAGAGCUUCUUCACUGCGAGAGAACACUAACGGAUUAGUAAGGAAAAAAAAGACAGCAGAUAACAAGGGAAUAGGAGCAGUAUUACAGGUAUCUCGGUUGGCGGGGGAGAACUCCACCCCUCCGGGGGACCCAGACAGUUUCCCCAACAGUCCGGCUGCGGAAAUCUGCUCAGUGGAGAACUUGGCUGCGUACAGCUUCGCCGCAGAGCCCAGCAGCUGGUCGAAGGCCGCAGGGUCCAGGUCCUCCGGGCAGGGGUCGUCCCCGACCCCCCCAACCUUCCACGCAUUGGGAGGAAAUUGUGUGAUUUUAAUGAAGAAUAAGUCACCCUUCCAGUUCUUCACGGAAGAGAGGACCCCGUAGAGGAGAUUCUGGGCGCCCUUCCCGCCGCGAUUGCUGGUGGAGCGGCGGCAGAAGUAGUACCACCCAGGGAGAGAAGCCUUGAGGGCGUAGGUGGCACGGAAGAGAGAGAGAGAAUAGGGGAUGGAGCAGAUCUGGCAGUAGAUCAGGAAUCUGAUGAUGAUCCUGAUCAAGUUAGGAUGGACUUGGGUGAUCCUGAGCCCCCAGAAACUCAGGAUCUCGGCCAGAGCCGGAGGAAUGGGGAGUCGUAGCCCCGCGACCAGUUGCUCUUUGUAAAUGGUUACAAAGCCUGGGGGAGGUCGGCAAACCCGGUCGGUCGGCCCGGCAACUCGCGGCUCGAAGGCCGGAGGAAUAGAGAAUGACACGGCCAGCUCGGCCACCGCCCCGGGCAAGAGUGUGGUCUCCUCCCGGUCGGGGUAGCCGUAGUUGAACUCAGGGUCAUCCUCUGAGGAGUCCCUGUCCUCCCCAGCUCCCCCCUGGGCUCUGCCAGGGGAGUCAUGUGGGGACUUGGGGGAUGGAACAGAGGUGGCUUGCUGCUGGAUGUAGGCAUCAAGCUCGGCCGCCUCCUCCAGGAGUCGGGCGGAAGGAGAAUGGGCAGAGGGAGAGCUCAUGAUAUCAAUGGAUUCAAGCAAGUCAGGCGCGAGAAAAUUGGGAUUGGAAGCAGAGGAUGAAGAAGGAGGAGGGGGAGAUGAUGAAGAUGAAGAUGAAGACGAGGACGAAGAGGAGAUGAAGAUUCUGGUGGCUCUACGACGGACCGGAGUUUGGGAUGCGGUGGAAGUGACGUCGGAGUGACCCGACAUAAAAUGCAGAAAAGGGGAAGGAGGGGACGAAAAGCGAAGAGAAAAAAGGUAAAGGACUUACUAGUGGACAAUGAAUGUGUUGGAGUUGAAGUAGUGAACAGGGUCGCCGGAAUCUGGGUGCUGUUGGCCGGAAAUGCGCUACUGGGAAUUGGAGAUGCACGAGGAAAGGAGAAAAUGGCAAAUAGAGUUAACCGGAAUUUAGCAGCCCCUAUUUAUAGGGAACGAAAUGGGGGGGAAACGGUUUGCUUGAAUUUGAACCGCCCCAUGUGAACACAUUUAAUAGAGGUACGGAGACCGAAGGGACGCGACAACUGAAAGGACGCGGACGCCACUUCCCAAUGUCAGCACUGCACCGGAGGCGACCGCGGCAGAGCAGUGUGAUGAUGGGCUUCCACGUGGCAAGGGGAUAAAUCAGGUCUGCCUGGGAGCCAGACCUAAUCUAGGGGGCUAGUGCAGAGGCCCCGUCCUGGGCCUGUACACGUAGCAGCCCAGGGUCGAUGCGAGUUGGGCUUGCGCCCCGGGCUGGUUCGGCUUGCGCCCCGGGCCCAUGGGGAACCAGCCCAGGGCGCACGGCGACUAGGGCUCCGGGAGGCUUUCGAGAGCUACCCCGCAGAGGGCGGGGAGAAUCCCCCUCAGCGCGGGAUUGGGAGCCAUCCAGGGCAAGUCCCGGAACGUACGGAGGUCGGACUCCUAAACGGGUAUAAAUGGUAACACAUACCAACUGUACAAGGUACGCUCACUAUUGGCAAUUCACUCCCGACUGCUUUCCUGUUAGUACACCCCCCCACUCACCGGAAAACUAACUUGACCGUCGGAGUGCCCUCGGGGACAACCUUAGGACCCCUGCCAGUUUACUUUCCUGUCUAUCUUUCAGGCCUUGGACGCGCUUUUUCCGCCAUCAAGCCGAGCUCAUCAGGUCAGCUCGGUCCGGGGAAGUUCCGUGCUUCUUCACACAGCUAGACAGGUUUUUCUUUCGAAUUUUGAUGUAUUUUUUUUAAAGGUUAUGACCCUUUUCCCCGAUGAUGAUGAUGAUGAUGAUGAUGGUAAUAACCCUGCAAUGAAGCCAAACAUAGUAGUACUUCGUCACAAGUUCUUCAUAUGUUUGUAUUGUGGAGCAGCUGUAAAUCACAAGAUUAUCAGCCCAAUACCUUUUGACAAUUAAUUUUUUAAAUCGAGCCCAAUAAAAAAGCAUGCCAUGACUGUAGAAAUCCCCUCGAGUUGAUGCCUCCAGCUCCAAUCCAUACUCUGAAAAUCGGGAUAUUAAUAUCACCCGGUACCCCUAAAUUUUUUGAAAUAUCACUUACCUCUUACCUCUUCUGAUAAUUGUAAAAAGACUCUAUAAAUGCUCAUUUGACACAUAAUUCAUAUAUCAAAUAAAUAGAAUUCAAAAAUUUUUAAAAAAAAAGAAAUGAAAGUCACUUUCUACUCUUUCCCUUUUCUCCAUCAUUCUCUCUUACUUGUUUUUUGGAUGACUAUGCAAUAUUUUAUUUGUAAAUUAUAAUAAAUUAAAUUUUGUUUAUAUUUUAUUUUUUGUGAUUAUGAUAAAGUGGGGUAUGAUUUAUUUGCUUAUUUUGAAUUAAUUUUUAUAAUGAUUGGUACAAUUUAAUAGUUUGGGCAAAGGUUGAGAAGAUGUUGAAAAAAAAAUGUAAAGUUCAUAAGAAAUCGGUUUUAAGCAUAUAGAGUAAAAUUGGUGCAAGUGUAUUUCUUUUCAAAUAUCUUUUUUAUUUUUUAAAUUUAUAUUUUUUGUAGGGUAUUGCAUUAUAAUAUGGUAGUACUACAACAGAUUGUUUUGUAGAUGAUGGUUUUCUUGAAGUGAACAAAGUGGUUUAGAAAUAUUUUUAUUUAGCAAGUGAAAGGGUAGUUUAGGGCUUUUAAAAAUUUUGUUACACAAAUAACAAAAGUAAGGGAGAUAAGUGAUAUUUUUAAAACUUUAGAGGUGUCAGAUGAUAUUAAGAGAAACCUCAUGGGAGUUUUCUGAUAUUAGCCUCUGAAAAUAUUGAUUCUGAUCAGCAGCAUCAUGGCAAUGGAAAAAGAAUUUGUGGCGCUUGUAAUUGAUGAUUUACACCGUCUAUGAGCCACCCAAUUCCAUUUUAGUUUUCACUUCUAAUAGACUAAAUUACACUUUUUUCUAUGAUGAAAACAUUGAAAAAAUUUCAUGAAAAAGUUAAUUAUGCAGAUAUAGCUGGAAAGAUAAUUAUGACGACCGUGACUCCAAUUUGUGCAGAUUUUCAAGAUUGCCCUAAUUUUCAAUCAUAAGUGGGGAAAAAGCGUUGCAUUUGCCUCCAUGAAUUAUGACCGUGUCCCUAAAGAGCUUUAUUGGCAAUUUACCCUGACUAUUUUAAUUAUUUUUGUAUUUUUUUUCUUUCCUUAUAAUCUUUAAUUUCUUUUCUCUCUCUUAAUUUUUUGUUUUAAUUUUUUUUUGUUUUUUCUGCGUUCCCCCAUUAUAUGAAGUCUAUUCUGUCACUAGUAGUAAUUGGUUAAUCACAAGCUCUAAAUUUUAUAUUUAUAUUUAAAUAUAUUUAAUAUCUAGUAAACUUUACAGUACAAUAACAUUUACGCUGAUUGUGUUACAAAGCAUAUAUUAUUCAAGAAUUAAAUUAUAUAAGCACAAGUACAUAAGCUAAUGUUUUUGAUUGAGCAAAUAACUAACAACAAUAUAUCACUUUGUAGUGUCAAGACAAAAUGGUAAAAACUAAUCCAAACAAUAAAAAACGAAAAAGCAAGAGAAAAAAGGCACAAAAGAAAAUAUGAAAAAUGAAGAUAAGUAAAAUAUCAAGGUUAGUUCCUCCUUAAACAUGAAUUUAGAGGUAAGUUGAGUAAAUAAAUCUUUAGGUGCAACCAUAAUCAUAAUUAACGAUGAUAAACUACAAUUGAUAAACUUAAAGAAUUGUUAGGGGACAAAGUGACUUUGGGACCAAAUUGUUAGGGGGCCUUAAUGCAAUUAAUCCUAUUGUUUACCCACUUUUUUUUUUGUUGUAGAACACAGGAAACCAAUCAGAGUGUUGGCCUUCAUGACUUGGUAGCAGGCAGAUUACUUGAUAUGCUCUAAGUCUUCACAAACACAGGAAACUGAGCUGGAGUCACUCUAAUACUUCAUUAUCUUUGUCAAUUUACACAAAUAAUUUAUCUGAGAUUGGAGAAAAUGUAUUUUAUUAUCUUGACCUAAAAUACAAAAGUACUGGCUUUGACUUACUUAUUUUUAUUUUUAUUUUUUCCCCCUCAUCUUCUUUUUUUUUUUUUUUCUUUUAGUACAAGUAGAAGGAUUCAAUGUUUGAUUUUCUACUGAUCAGCCAUUUAAUAGUAUAGAAAUAAAGGCUUUGGCUUUUGACAUUUGUAGGAGCUUCUAUUCUCCUUUCUGGCGCACUCCAUUUGUAAGAGUUAAAGCUACUCAGCUCUUUAGUUGAUAUUUCAUGCACUCGAGUUGAUAUUUUUGUGGUUAACCAUUUCGCAUGUACGUAAUUUUCUGAGUCCGUUUACUGACUACUUUUCUACUUAAAUCAUAGAAAAAGAUGUCUUAACAAAAAUAGCAUCAUCUAAAUAUACCACAAAUUUAUUUACAACUUACAAUCAUUUGCUAAGUUAUGCAUGAAUGGUUGUUGUGUGGCAUUCUAUGAAGUCUUAGAAUCUCGCCUUCGCUCUCCAUUAGUUUGAGCUCGAAUCUAGUAGAUAAAUAAAUGUGAAAUGCGAGAGUUUUUCCUCACACACAGAAUUUUUCUUGUGAGAGUGAGAAUUUUCUCUGUUUUUAAACUUUGUUUUGAAAUUUUUAAUUGGUAUGCACAGAUCUUGUAAUCAUAGAAAUGGAUUGUAUUAUCGAAAAUUUUAGAGUUUUACGGUGUUAUCCUCUAUUAUUAUUUUUUUAGAAUUGAAGGAAAUCAUAUAUUUGCUGUUAUGAAUACAUUUUGGGGAGAACAAAUUUUACUUUUCCUUUUCUCAAUAAAGAAAAUGGACAAAAAUUCAAUUGGACUCUAUACAUUCCCGAACGUUGAUGAGUAACUGGGAUCUGGGUCACUCGGUGACUGGGCUCGUAAGCAUGACCGGUUGACCCGUAUAUGACGGCGUUGAAACUGAAAAUUCUCCUCACAAAUGACGUUAUGAGCCACUUGGGGCCUUGGGCUCUUUGCCAAGGCCCAACUAGCAGACUCGAUUAAUUGGGCAAACUGCCCACUAAACCUUUUAAAACGUCCGGUUUUGGUCACACACAAAAAAAGCAAAAAAAUUUUUUUUGGUCAUUCCGAAUUAAUUAUUCAGCUAGCCUAAGUGCCUCAUUUUUCCCAUUCGUCUAAUUUCUGCCUUUCUCCAGAGAAUUUUCGUCUAUUGUCUUCAACGGUAUAGCCAUUUACGUAUAGAAAUGAGACAUAGUGAUGAUACGUGGGCAUUUGAGUAGAGGAAACCAACAAAAAUGCCUUCAAAUAGACAAUGAACUUAGUUGUGGGGCACUAAGCAUUGGAUUAAUUAAUAGAUAAAAUUGAACAAAAUGGGUAAAAUGAGAUAUUUACUAUUAUUGGAUAAUCGAUUGGAGACCCAAAAAAUUGGGGUCAAUGACUACGAGAUUUUCUAAUUGCCGUUAUUCGCAUGUCUUGCGUUUUCUUUAUCAACCUACGAAGUGAUUAUGUAGGAGACAUCCCGCAUCGGAAGGGGAAGAGCAAAGGAAUUGGUUUAAGAGCUUGGCCCUUGGCUGUCUUGAAAUUUGGGUCAAUAAAUUUUGAUUCAAAAAUUAUUUGGGCCAAACCUUGGAUCGGGUCAUGUUAAUUAGUAUUAGAGCGAACAUGACAUGGUCUUUGUAUGAAAUGAGCCUGUGCGAACGGAUUAUAAUUUCGACUACAAAAGGAAGUGCAAGGAAUUUAAUGUUGUGAAGGGCUAAAUGCCACUUCAGACGAGGAUUACUUCUAGAACUUGUAUGAGUCACUUCUAGAGUCCGAACACAACCAAAUGGGCAGUCUGAAUCUAACGGUUUUGGAUCGUGAUAGUUUGUAUAAGAGAUAAUCUCGCCUAUCUCUAUGUGGAGUGAGAUUGGGCUAAUGAGUUAUGAUUCUGAUUACGCAAGAAAGUGCAAAGAGUUAAGUGCUGUGCAAAAUUAAGUGCCACAUCUAGCGGGAGCCACUUCUAGAGUUCGUAUGAACCACUUUUAGAGUUUGAAUAAAAUUAAAUGGACAAUCUGGAUUCUGACGGGUUUUGCGAGGAUGUAAAGUUCAAAAGGUGGAGAGAAUGAGACAUCCCACAUUGAAAAAAGAAAGGAAACGGUUUAAAAGCUUGGCCCCUUAGCUACCUUAAAUUUGGGUUACUUAUUUUGAGCUAAUGGAUUUCAAUUCAAAAAUUACUUGGGCAGCUUUUAGAUUUGGGUCAUGACAACGUAGGUGAUGGUGCAUAGGAUAUCGUGCACUUCAAUAUUAAUUGAAGUCGUUUACCAUUUUUGUUUUCCUUUGGGUCAGUUAGCAUUCGAUUUUUUUUUUUCCCUUCGUUUUUGGUUGAGAGUGUUGAUGAGUUGUAGGAUUAACUUGUGCAGAGAAUGAUGGGAGAAUGCAUGAAAUUGAUCUCGAAGAAGGUUCAUAUGCUGAUUUGACUUAAAGAUCGGACCACGAAUUGAUUGAGUCUGCUUAUCACAAUUUAUUAAAAUCCUUUAAAAGGUGGACUUGGUUUUUUAGUUUCAAAAUUGGCAUGUUCGUUUUCCAAUUACACAAAGAAUUGGUCAAACGAAUGAAGCUCUAACACUAGCUUCGUUAAAAGUGAGUGAAUGUUACGUCCACAAGCAUAAACAAGUGUAUAAAAUUACUCCUCACUAAUCUGAGAUGAAAUCAAGUUUCAGACAGUGCUCGAAUUUCGUAUACUUGUGGAGAUUGAUUUUAGUGUUAACAAGAAAUGGAAUUAUGGAGAUCCAUUUUUUUUUCAUAGAUUUGUAAAUUAAGCGUUGACUGAAAGUUUCAUUUAUUUUUUUUGAAGGGAAAGUUGACUGAAGUUUCUACAUUAUGGGACAAUAUUAAGCAUGGACUAAAUACGCUUAUUGUAUAUUAUGGAAGCAUAAGAUCCAAGCAUAUUAUGGAAGCAUAAAGAUGCUCAAGCAGAAUCGAGCCAAUUGACUACCUUUCAAAACAUACAAUUCUUGUAAAGAAAGACUAGGAUUAUGUUUGAAUCAUCCAUUUAUUUUUUCAAAGAAAAAGCGUUAGAUGUCUUCUUUAUCAGUUCAUCGAACUAGCAACUUCAUCUUGAUGAUUCAGACCAGUAAGCAGCUGCAAAUCAAGAUUUCAAGCAUUAGUACGAGAAGACAUCCUUUUCCAUGCUAGUGGGCACAACACAUAUAGUAUAACUUUUCUCUUGUUUCCGUUUUUUUUUUUUUCUGAAUGAUAGAAACCAGUUAGCUUACAAGACUUCGUCCAAAAUAAAAGAAUUCAUCUAAAUUAGAAAAAAAAAAAGAACUUCAACCUGUGGGCUGUAUUAAAUUCUCGAGUAUACCUGUGGAUAUUAAGCUUGAACACUUUCUUGUUGUGCCCUGACACCAAGGAAAACAUCCUUAAUGAGGUGUAAUUUUCUGACAACUUCAUUCAUAUGCAUCCUAUCAUUUGGUAAUCUUGCAGAGCACUUAAGUCCGAUUUUCAGUAGGGAAAUAAUGCACUCCAUCUCUUUUCCACCAUUAAUAGUUUCCUCUCCAUGAGUAAUUCUACUGUUUUCAUCUCUUCCUUCAGAAAGAUGCAACGGGUCCACGAUCUCGGAGACUUAUUCAUGCAAAGCCCUAUUAACAUAGUUAUGUAUAUCUAACUCAUCCAUGAACAUAUCAUCUUUUGGCCUCCUCUUUGUGAUCAUCUCUAGCAAAAGAAUGCCGUAGCUGUAGACAUCCCCUGGAGUUGAUGCCACAUGACCCAUUCCAUACUCUGAAUUUUUGUUUCUAGAUAUAUUAAUGUUAUGUUGUAAAGGAGAAACUAUAUAUAUAGAAAUAUAAAAUCUAAGGGAGUAAAUUAAAUAUAGCUGCUAUGUUUAAGUACUAGUUUGUAAAUAAGACUUGAUUGAAAUUGUUAAAAUUAAUCACUAUACAUUUAGGUCAAUUGCUUAAUGUCCCUAUUGUUUUAUUAUCAAUAAGUAUCUCCUUAAAACUUAUGUCAAUUAUAUAUUAAGUGCAGCAAAAAGUCAUUUAUAACUUUUUACAUUAAGUGCUAUUCCUCAUCUUUUUUUUUUCUUAUCCAUAUGGUCAUGCCGUAUUUUCUUGCCUUUUGUUUCAAUAAUAUGCAUAUCUUCUUGUUUUGUCCUAGUUUCAAUUCCCAUUAAAAAUUUGUGGUAUUAGAAUAGUCAUUUUUUUUUUGUUCAUCAAUAAAGAGAGGGUCAGUUUGUAGUCAAAAUCCUACAGUUUUAAAUCUUGAAACAUGCAUUAAUUAUCCACUAAAUCAUAAGCUCAUUCUCAUUUAGCAAACAACUCCGCAUUCUGCUGUAAAUUCAAGGUAGAAAUUCUUUCCAAGUAACAUAUCACUGCUAGACAGGCUUUUUCUUCCGAAUUUUGAUGUAUUUUUUUUAAAGGUUGUGACCCUUUUCCCCGAUGAUGAUCAUGAUGAUGGUAAUAACCCUGCAAUGAAGCCAAACAUAGUAGUAUUUGUGUUGGGUUCAUGAGUAAGGGGUUGUGUCCCACAUCGGUCCUAGAGAUGGAAAAAGAGCGGUUAAUAUGUAAGUAAGGGUUCAAGACCUAAUAGCUUAAGCUUUUGGGUCAGAAUUGGGUUCUUGACUUACAUAUUGGGCUCUUUGGUGGACUCUCUCGAGGUGUUUCUCCCUAACAAAUUGGUAUCAGAGCUUCAGGUUGCAAAACUAGGUUACUCAUGGGCAAAUGGAUUCUUCUCGGAAUUGGAUCGGUGAAAAAUUCUCUUCUUGAUGGUGGACCGAAGUGCCAAGGAGUUUGGUUGGUGUUGGACCAGAUGUGCCAUGGGUUUGGCAGGGGUUCCGGUUGAUGUUAGACCAAGAAGCCAAGGGUUGGUAGAGGUCCAAAAAUAUAGUUUGGAUGUUGAAGAAGAGUGGGUCCAUGUUUGAAAGAAGAGGUGACCUUAAAAUGAUAAGGUGGGCUUGUGUUGAGUAUUAAAGUGGGCUCCGAAAAACAAGAGCUUGUAAAUUUGGGUUUAAUGUGGGGGUUACUCAUGAAGGGGGAGAUUUGUUGGGUUCAUGAGUAAGGGGUUGUGUCCCACAUCGGUCCGAGAGAUGGAAAAAGAGCUGUUAAUAUGUAAGUAAGGGUUCAAGACCUAAUAGCUUAAGCUUUUGGGUCAGCGUUGGGUUCCUGACUUACAUAUUGGGCUCUUUGGUGGACUUUCUCGAGGUGUUUCUCCCUAACAAUUUGGUCACUAGUUCUUCAUCUGUUUGUAUUGUGGAGCAGCUGUAAAUCACAAGAUUAUCAGCCCAAUACCUUUUGACAAUUAAUUUUUUAAAUCGAGCCCAAUAAAAAAGCAUGCCAUGACUGUAGAAAUCCCCUCGAGUUGAUGACUCCAACUCCAAUCCAUACUCUGAAAAUAGGGAUAAUAUCAGAAACCUCCCUUGAGGUUUCUCUUAAUAUCACUUGGUACUCCUAAGUUUUUUGAAAUAUCACUUACCUCCUCUAAUAAUUGUAAAAAGGCUAUAUAAAUGCUCAUUGACACAUAAUUCACAUAUCAAAUAAAUGGAACUCAAAAAUUAAAAAAAAAAAAGAAAUAAAAGUCACUUUCUUCUCUUUCCCUUUUCUCCAUCAUUCUCUCUUACUUGUUUUUUGGAUGACUAUGCAAUAUUUUAUUUGUAAAUUAUAAUAAAUUAAAUUUUGUUUAUAUUUUAUUUUUUGUGAUUAUGAUAAAGUGGGGUAUGAUUUAUUUGCUUAUUUUGAAUUAAUUUUUAUAAUGAUUGGUACAAUUUAAGCAAAGGUUGAGAAGAUGUUGAAAAAAAAAUAAAGUUCAUAAGAAAUCGGUUUUAAGCAUAUAGAAUAAAAUUGGUGCAAGUGUAUUUCUUUUCAAAUAUCUUUUUAAUUUUUUAAAUUUAUAUUUUUGUAGGGCAUAGCAUUAUAAUAUGGUAGUACUACGACAGAUUGUUUUGUAGGUGAUGGUUUUCUUGAAGUGAACAAAGUGGCUUAGAAAUAUUUUUAUUUAGCAAGUGAAAGGGUAGUUUAGGGCUUUUAAAAAUUUUGUUACACAAAUAACAAAAGUAAGGGAGGUAAGUGAUAUUUUUAAAACUUUAGAGGUGUCAGAUGAUAGUAAGAGAAACCUCAUGGGAGUUUUCUGAUAUUAGCCCCUGAAAAUAUUGAUUCUGAUCAGCAGCAUCAUGGCAAUGGAAAAAGAAUUUGUGGCGCUUGUAAUUGAUGAUUUACACCGUCUGAGCCACUCAAUUCCAUUUUAGUUUUCACUUCUAAUAGACUAAAUUACACUUUUUUCUAUGAUGAAAAAAUUGAAAAUUUUCAUGAAAAAGUUAAUUAUGCAGAUAUAGCUGGAAAGAUAAUUAUGACGACCGUGACUCCAAUUUGUGCAGAUUUUCAAGAUUGCCCUAAUUUUCAAUCAUAAGGGGGGAAAAAGCGUUGCAUUUGCCUCCAUGAAUUAUGACCGUGUCCCUAAAGAGCUUUAUUGGCAAUUUACCCUGACUAUUUUAAUUAUUUUUAUAUUUUUUUGCUUUCCUUAUAAUCUUUAAUUUCUUUUCUCUCUCUUAAUUUUUUGUUUUAAUUUUUUUUGUUUUUUCUGCAUUCCCUCAUUAUAUGAAGUCUAUUCUGUCACUAGUAGUAAUUGGUUAAUCACACGCUCUAAAUUUUACAUUUGUAUUUAAAUAUACUUAAUAUCUAGUAAACUUUACAGUACAAUAACACAUACGCUGAUUGUGUUACAAAGCAUAUAUAAUUCAAGAAUUAAAUUAUAUAAGCACAAGUACAUAAGCUAAUGUUUUUGAUUGAGCAAAUAACUAACAACAAUAUAUCACUUUGUAGUGUCAAGACAAAAUGGUAAAAACUAAUCCAAACAAUAAAAAACGAAAAAGCAAGAGAAAAAAGGCACAAAAGAAAAUAUGAAAAAUGAAGAUAAGUAAAAUAUCAAGGUUAGUUCCUCCUUAACCAUGAAUUUAGAGGUAAGUUGAGUAAAUAAAUCUUUAGGUGCAACCAUAAUCAAAGUUACAAUCUGUCGCGCCCCACUUUUCGAUAAAAUAAAUAAAUGGUUUAAAAAAAUGUAUUUUUGAUUCAAUUUGUGAUUGGAAAAUGAAUUGUGGUUUAAAAGAAAAAAAUGGGUCUAAAUGGGGGUUUGAGAAUGCGACGAUUUGACCCAGAAUUAUAGUUUAAAAAGGGUUUUUUGAAUAUGAAGACGGAGUCGCCACUUGGUAAUGAGUUAAGGUGUACCAAGUCACCUAAAAAUGUAUUUUUAAAGAAAAAUAGGAAAAAGUAGUGAUAAACCCCUUUUAAACGACUCCUAGUCUACGUAAACCAAAGAAAAAGGUUCGGGAGUCACAUUUGACAAAGGGGAAGGCAAGGAUAAAAUCCAAGGCACCCCUUUGACCUAGCCAAGGCUAGUUGCAUGAUUUAAUCAAAAAUUUUCUUGUUUUAAUCAAAGAAUUUAUUACAUUUGGAUGCACUACAUGAAUGCAAACCCUAGACCUAGGGGUAUUGGGGAAAUUUCUCUUCAAAGGUUGAGUGGUGCCAAUCACAUUAAUUGUGAAGCCCAAUAACAAACCUUCGAAGAAGUCACGAAUAAUGCAGGUGGAAUGCUCAAACAAGGAAAGAAAAUAUGAGAGGUGUGCAAAUGAAGGCAAAAGUGCUCGUGUGCAAGUAAAGGGAUAAAAAAAUGCAUAUGUGCAAAUGAGACAAAAUGUUCGUGUGCAAGUGAAGGGAUAAAAAAGGUGUACGUGUGCAAAUGGGAGGAGAAGUGUUCGUGUGCAAGUGAAGGGAUAAAGGUGUACGUGUGCAAAUGAGAGGAAAAGUGAAAGUGUAAUGAUAGAGUGGAUGCAUGAACCUAGGGAAUUCAUGCAUAUUGGAUACGGGGAGACCUAAAUCGUGACUCAAUUUGCCCUUUUAUAGAGGGAAUACAAGCAUGCUAAGGCUUAGAAAAAAGCCACACUCGUCUAUAUCCCAUAUUUAAGGGGACUCUCAAGCAAAUGAACCCUAUAACUAGCAUGAAAUGCAAAAAUCCUAAAAUGGAGGGAAAACGGGUUCGAGGGGCAUGCAAAAUGAUAAAACUAAAAAGAAUGCAUGACAUGUAAUGAACAUGCAAACAUGUACUAACGAGGGGAAAUCCCUAAGGGUCUAGCGUUGGACUAGCCCAUUCUAUGAAUUCCGACUAGCGUUGGACUAGUGGAAACGUACAUUCAUCCAUCAUAUUCAUUCAGGCUAUGGAAAGCGAGUAGACAUGCCAAACACUUAUAAACACAUAGCACAUAACAUUUAGCAUGCUCGACUAGAUGCGAGGCCCUAACAAAGCAAAUUAACACGUAGUAACUAAGCAUGCAUGACACAUAAGACAAUUAAAGCCCUGACUAUUACAUUUGCUAGCUAGGCACAUGACUUCGAUAGGUCUUCAUUGAAUGCUCCUCCAAGCCCUAUCUAUUACAUUAGGGAGACCCUACUACAAUCUAAAAGGGGGAAAAGGAAUAAAAUAAUUAAAUCCCUAACUAUUACAAGCCAAGAGGUGUACACAUACCCCAUAAAGAAUAACUUAAAUAAAAAGCAAAAGUAAAUGACAUAAAUAAAAGAAAUUUAAAGAAAGGCAAAGAAAGCAAAGUAGACAUGCAUAUUCACAUAACACGUAGGAGCACGUAGGAAAAAUAAACUCAAGGAUAUAGAAGUUACCUCCCUUGCAAUGGAAAUCGAGUAAAUGAGAUAUUAGCUUCAAAACAAUAAAAAGGUCAAGGUACCAAUUUAUUUGACAAAUAAUCACAAAAAAAAAUAAAAUGGCAAACUUGAAAUUGAAUCAAUUGAAUCAUGUAAGCAAACCACAUUCAAGAAGUCAAGAGAAGAAAGGACCUGAUUGCAAAAAUUGAUAAAACUUUGGGGCCAAAAUUAAAGAAAAAUAAAGUUCAGGGACCUAUUUGCAAUUAAUUUAAGGACCCAAUUGAAAGAAGUUGAAAAUAUCCAGGGCCACAGCACAGUUAAGGAGAAAUUCAGGGACUGAUUUGCAAAAUCGUUUUCUGGUCUCCUAAUGGACCGAACCAUUGGGCCAUUUCCUUUAUUUGCUUGGGCCAAAGCUUCCCAGCCCAAUAGAAAUUCAGAACAAAAAGGGAAUGGGCUAUUUUAUUUGUUUCUUUGGGCCAACCCAUCCUAGCCCAACCGAAAACCCAGCAAAGACAGAUGGGUUUUAACCUGCCUAGCCCAAAUCAUAAAUCCAAGAUAAAUAGAACGAAGCCCAUCAUAAAAAAAACCAAACAAAACAUCCCUCUAAUCCAAAAUGUUACCAAAUUAGCAACUCAACUAAAAUUAUUAAGCCCCAAUUAUGAUCUAAAACUAACGUUAAUAAAAAGAUGAUUACAAUUGCCGGGUCCUAUCAAAACAAGAAAAAAAAUUGAGAGGGGUUCCAAUGUAGUAAAAACCAGGGACUUAAUUGAAAGCAUUUAUACAAGUCUUGGGGUCAACUUAUGAAGCCCAAACAACUUUGGGGUGAAGUUUCACGAUAAACAAACAGAAUGGAAGGGCCAAAAUUAUGUUUGCAGACCAACGGUCUUCUUCUCAAACACCAAUUCGCCAUUUCUGUCCGUAUAACCAGAGCAAAGCCAAAAUUCUAGCCAUUCUCAAUCAAAAAACGAAAAUCACCCAAAAACUCUUUUCAUACAAUAUCAAUUCGAGUUCAUUCAACCGGACCACACAAAACGGAAAGAAAUGAAAUACAGCAAAAUGCAUCAUAAAUUUUCAAAUGUAAGGAAAGUGAUUUGGCCGAAUGUAUACAAAAACAGAAAUUAAUUUGACUUUGAAGUUGAACCCCCGGUUAGGCAUUUUAUCGAGCAGCAAAUGAGCCAAAAGAAAAAUCGAUGAUUUUUGCUUAAUUGAAGUCAUGAUCAGCCCAGAAAUUAGUCAAAACCCACAAGAUUCCAGUCUAAUUAAUAUACAAAAACAUGCCUAUUCCACAAUCAUGUGUAAUCAGCAUAAAAUUGCAAUAAAUAAUUCUCUGCUUUGGGAAACUUAAAAAAACCCGAGCUUAAAAAAGAAACAAAAAAUUCUCAGGGAGGGAGAGGACUUACAGCACCUGCUCGGCGAAGAUUGGCGGAUGAUGGUGAUGUGUAUUCGAUGACACAGUAACGGCCUGGUGAAUUGGAAACCUCCGCUGCCGUCGCUGCUCAAGUCAUCCCCGGACGAGACGCAGGUGGAGAAGCAUUUGAUAAUAGGCUCUGGCUAUGAAACUGCUGCGCUUGGGGCAGCUUCAUUGAGUUUGAGCAGCUGGAAGUCGAAGUCUUGGGUGUCGAGGACUUCAUGUUUUCUCUGAUUUUGUCGACCGAAGUCCCUUUCCAAGUUUCCCCUCUUGCUCUGUUUUGCGUUGCUCUGCCGAGGCCUUUCUUCUGAUUUUUCUUGUUCCUUGCCUUCUUCUCCUUUUCCUUUCUUUUCUCCCAGACGAAAAUUUUCUGUUUUUGUUCUUUUGCUCCUGCUCGACAAUUCCGCCGCCCCUGCCCUCUCUAGAUUCAUCCCCGCCUCUGUUUUUUGCUCUCGUUGAAAACCUCCCCUCUUUUUUCUUUUCUUUUUAGUUUGCCGCUGCCAACCUUCUCUAUUUUUUAUGCCCGUCACCCUUCAAGCUCCCCUGUUUUCUUUUCUUUUUCUUUUGUUUUUCCAGAAUCUCCCCUCUGUUUCUGUUUUUCUCUCAUCCGUGGCCUCUUUUUUUCUUCCAAUUCUCAAAACCUCCCUUCUAAGCUAAACAAGUGUCCUCCUAAAUGUUGUGUUGUCAAUUAAACAAAAGGGACACUUGUCCCUCAAAUUCCUUAACCACUUGUCCCAUGAUUGUUUUGUACACUUGUUCAACAUGCACACUUCCACCUAUUUUUGUCACUUUCAUUCUUUUUCUUUCAUUUUUCAUUUUUCAUCAUUUUUCACUUUUUCUCUUCUUUUUUCCUUUUUUUUCAUUUUCAAGAAAUUCUAUGCUAAAAACACAAAAAACUAAAAAACUAAAAACUAAAAAGUGAAAAAAAAACGAGCACAGACUAAAAAAUAAUUAGUAAAUGAAAUUACACCAAAAUUUGGUGUCUACACAAUCUAUGGGGUAAAAUGAUACGUCAGGGGACAAAGUGGCUUUGGGACCAAAUUGUUAGGGGGCCUAAUGCAAUUAAUCCUAUUGUUUUCCCACUUUUGUUUUUUUGUAGAACACAGGAAACCAAUCAGAGUGUUGCCAUUCAUGACUUGGUAGCAGGCAGAUUACUUGAUCUGCUCUAAGUCUUCACAAACACAGGAAACUGAGCUGGAGUCUCUCUAAUACUUCAUUAUCUUUGUCAAUUUACACAAAUAAUUUAUCUGAGAUUGGAGAAAAUGUAUUUUAUUAUCUUGACCUAAAAUACAAAAGUACUGGCUUUGACUUACUUAUUUUUAUUUUUAUUUUCCCCCUCAUCUUUUUUUUUUCUUUUAGUGCAAGUAGAAGGAUUCAAACCCGAAUUCUCUUAUUUACACUCUCUCCUCUCGAAUCACCCCACUCAUCUCUCCCACCCUUCAUUUUCUAAUUAACAACUAACCUCAUGUCUUUCCAUCAACUCACAUUUCUUCUUGUGUUUUACGAAAUGCUAAUCACAAUUUUUCUAAAAUUCAAAAUCUUGUCAUUAUGUUAGAUGACCACCUGCAAAACAAGUACAAUUUUCAAUUCUUGUGCCAAUUUUCAUAAGAAUUUUAGUUGCUUUGUCAUCUGUUAGUUUUGUUUUUUUAGAUGACCAGUGUAAAAGGUGUACAUUUACAUGUACGUAGCUCAAGACUUUUUCUAUGGCAUAAUUUUUACAAAAGCUAAAGAAUAAAAUUGAUAGAGCGGACAAAUCGUACAACAGAUCAAAUUUGGUUCAAAGUUUUGUGCACAAUUAAGUAUCUUCUUAUUUAUUCUUGGGUAAAUUAUGUUUUACCAUCCUACAUUUUAGAGCAUUUCCACAUAAUCCUUCUAUAGUUAUAAAAGUUAGACAUAACCCCCUAUGGUUGGACCAAAGUAUUAAAGUGACAAAAAUUACUUGUGACACAAUGGUUCGCAGCUACUCGAUCAUCUUUCUUCCUCAUGCAAAAAUUAAUUCUUUCUCAUAGACAAUUGAAAAUUCAAAAUUUCAUAGAAUAUUCAUUAUGGUUGUGAUUAGUGCAAAUAUUCAUUGUAUACUGUUUAUGAAUGAUUUUUAGGUACAGAAGAUCCUGAACCACUGGUUCAUGAAGCUUCAAUGUUUGAUUUUAUACCGAUCAGCCAUUUAAUGGUAUAGCAAUAAAGGCUUUGGCUUUUGACAUUUGUAGGAGCUUCUAUUCUCCUUUCUGGCUUACUCCAUUGUUAACGACAAUACGAUCAUGAGUUAAAGCUACUCAGCUCUUUAGUUGAUAUUUCAUGCGCUCGAGUUGACAUUUUUGUGGUUAACCAUUUCGCAUGUACGUAAUUUUCUGAGUCCGUUAACUAACUACUUUUCUACUUAAAUCAUAGAAAAAGAUGUCUUGUUGGAUCUCUUAACAAAAAUAGCAUCAUCUAAAAAUACCACAAAUUAGUUACACUGAUAGGUUGCAUUUUUGUCAUUAAUUCUAUGAUUAUUUUCCUCUUUUAUUUUACCAAAUAUUGUAUUAAUUGAUAGAUUCUACUUAUAUUUAGUAUUUGGUACUAAUUGUAGGAAGGUGGAGCAAAAUGUGAUAAAAAAUGUGAUUUUUCAAGAGUUUCCCAAUUCAAAAUGGAGUCGACGUGGAUUAUUGGCAGAAGAUUAGGAGGAAGUCUAUUUGGUUUCAAAAAGCUAAAAAUUAGGAAAAAGAUAGGAUGACCAUGCCCGUGUGAUUACUACUAGAAAGAGUCAACAAUUACGAGGAUUGGGGACUUGGUUUUUCGUUUGACUUGUAGUAAUUUUCUAAAACAAUUCCUUAGCUUUUGCUAAUUUGGGGGGGUUGACCGAAAUUGGAGGAAACAAAGCAAAUAAGAGGAAAAAAAGCCGGAUCCCGCGGGAUGACUACUCAGCCAGGGAUCUCACGGGAUUACUACUUGGCCAGGGAAUAAGAAGAGAAAAGGGUGGCGGCCGCUGGGCUCUCUGCUCCGCGAAGUAGUUCUUUUACUACCGAACAUUGACGCAAUUUCGUGAAGGGGACUUGUGUGAGUUACUCUCAAUGGAGAGUAACUAAUCUUGUUUUCUAGUCAAGGGGACAACUGAAGAUUUGGUUCAACAAUUACUGUGAGAUCGAAAUUAUUUUAAUUGCUUCCUCCAUUUAUUGGUAUUCGUAUGUUUUCUGCUUUUACUUGUUGUUAUAGCUAUCGUGUAUGAUUGAAUAGCUGCGCAAUAUUUAAUUAUUCAUGUAGGCUAUUGUGCUAAUUAGGGGUAAUUGAAUCCGUAAUUGUUCGUUAUCUCUAUCUAAGUAGCAACUGGCGUAAUUGGGUUUAUGUCAGGGGAACAUACGAUCUAACUUAAACAAACCCUCGUAGCGUUUUUGUUAGUUAAAAUUAGGCCUUUCUAAUUAUUAAUGCAAACCAAAAAUUAAAUCCUACGGUCGUACCUAGGGUUGUUUCUGGGUUAGAAAAAUAGUUAACGGUCGUACCUUAAUUAUCGAACAAUUAAGGAAUCGUUGGCUGUUUAUCGCAUGCAUGACAACUAUAACUAGUCUAUUAAUAAAUGUUGGAAUUAUCUGUGAAUCGAUGAUCAGUGCAUGAACCAUUUCUGAAGUGUACCCCUAGUUAGAGUUCUCCCAAUUAAUUAUUUUGCACAUUUAAUUUAUUUAGUUAGCAAUUCAUUUGCAUUUAAUCUUAAAACCCCUCAUACUUUGAACUCUAGAAGAAACGAAUUAUCCCCAAUCCAUGUGGAUUCGACCCUACUCACCGCUGUAUACAAAAUCGGUAUUUCUCUUGAGUAGGUAAUUAUUAUUGCACAGGCUCGACACCUGUCAAUUUUUAAAAUUGAUAGGUUGCAUUUUUGUCAUUAAUUCUAUGAUUAUUUUCCUCUUUUAUUUUACCAAAUAUUGAAUUAAUUGAUAGAUUCUACUUAUAUUUGGUAUUUGGUACUAAUUGUAGGAAGGUGGAGCAAAAAGUCAUAAAAGAGGUGAUUUUUCAAGAGUUUUCCAAUUCAAAAUGGAGUCGACGUGGAUUAUUGGCAGAAAAUUAGGAGGAAGACUAUUUGGUUUCAAAAAGCUAAAAAUUAGGAAAAAGAUAGGAUAACCAGGCCCGUGUGAUUACUACUAGAAAGAGUCAACAAUUACGAGGAUUGGGGACUUGGUUUUUCGUUUGACUUGUAGUAGUUUUCUAAAACAAUUCCUUAGCUUUUGCUAAUUUGGGGGGGUUGACCGAAAUUGGAGGAAACAAAGCAAAUAAGAGGAAAAAAGGCCGGAUCCCGCGGGACGACUACUCAGCCAGGGAUCUCACGGGAUUACUACUUGGCCAGGGAAUAAGAAGAGAAAAGGGGGGCGGCCGCAGGGCUCUCUGCUCCGCGGAGUAGUUCUUUUACUACCGAACAUUGACGCAAUUUUGUGAACGGGACUUGUGUGAGUUACUCUCAAUGGAGAGUAACUAAUAUUGUUUUCUAGUCAAGGGGACAACUGAAGAUUUGGUUCAACAAUUACUGUGAGAUCGAAAUUAUUUUAAUUGCUUCCUCCAUUUAUUGGUAUUCGUAUGUUUUCUGCUUUUACUUGUUGUUAUAGCUAUCGUGUAUGAUUGAAUAGCUGCGCAAUAUUUAAUUAUUCAUGUAGGCUAUUGUGCUAAUUAGGGGUAAUUGAAUCCGUAAUUGUUCGUUAUCUCUAUCUAAGUAGCAACUGGCGUAAUUGGGUUUGUGUCAGGGGAACAUACGAUCUAACUUAAACAAACCCUCGUAGCGUUUUUGUUAGUUAAAAUUAGGCCUUUCUAAUUAUUAAUGCAAACCAAAAAUUAAAUCCUACGGUCGUACCUAGGGUUGUUUCUGGGUUAGAAAAAUAGUUAACGGUCGUACCUUAACUAUCGAACAAUUAAGGAAUCGUUGGCUGUUUAUCGCGUGCAUGACAACUAUAACUAGUCUAUUAAUAAAUGUUGGAAUUAUCUGUGAAUCGAUGAUCAGUGCAUGAACCAUUUCUGAAGUGUACCCCUGGUUAGAGUUCUCCCAAUUAAUUAUUUUGCACAUUUAAUUUAUUUAGUUAGCAAUUCAUUUGCAUUUAAUCUUAAAACCCCUCAUACUUUGAACUAUAGAAGAAACGAAUUAUCCCCAAUCCAUGUGGAUUCGACCCUACUCACCGCUGUAUGCAAAAUCGGUAUUUCUCUUGAGUAGGUAAUUAUUAUUGCACAGGCUCGACACCUGUCAAUUUUUAAAAUUGAUAGGUUGCAUUUUUGUCAUUAAUUCUAUGAUUAUUUUCCUCUUUUAUUUUACCAAAUAUUGUAUUAAUUGAUAGAUUCUACUUAUAUUUGGUAUUUGGUACUAAUUGUAGGAAGGUGGAGCUAAAAGUCAUAAAAGAGGUGAUUUUUCAAGAGUUUCCCAAUUCAAAAUGGAGUCGACGUGGAUUAUUGGCUGAAAAUUAGGAGGAAGUCUAUUUGGUUUCAAAAAGCUAAAAAUUAGGAAAAAGAUAGGAUGACCAGGCCCGUGUGAUUACUACUAGAAAGAGUCAACAAUUACGAGGAUUGGGGACUUGGUUUUUCGUUUGACUUGUAGUAGUUUUCUAAAACAAUUCCUUAGCUUUUGCUAAUUUGGGGGAGUUGACCGAAAUUGGAGGAAACAAAGCAAAUAAGAGGAAAAAAGGCCGGAUCCCGCGUGAUGACUACUCAGCCAGGGAUCUCGCGGGAUUACUACUUGGCCAGGGAAUAAGAAGAGAAAAGGGGGGCGGCCGCUGGGCUCUCUGCUCCGCGGAGUAGUUCUUUUACUACCGAACAUUGACGCAAUUUCGUGAAGGGGACUUGUGUGAGUUACUCUCAAUGGAGAGUAACUAAUCUUGUUUUCUAGUCAAGGGGACAACUGAAGAUUUGGUUCAACAAUUACUGUGAGAUCGAAAUUAUUUUAAUUGCUUCCUCCAUUUAUUGGUAUUCGUAUGUUUUCUGCUUUUACUUGUUGUUAUAGCUAUCGUGUAUGAUUGAAUAGCUGCGCAAUAUUUAAUUAUUCAUGUAGGCUAUUGUGCUAAUUAGGGGUAAUUGAAUCCGUAAUUGUUCGUUAUCUCUAUCUAAGUAGCAACUGGCGUAAUUGGGUUUGUGUCCGGGGAACAUACGAUCUAACUUAAACAAACCCUCGUAGCGUUUUUGUUAGUUAAAAUUAGGCCUUUCUAAUUAUUAAUGCAAACCAAAAAUUAAAUCCUACGGUCGUACCUAGGGUUGUUUCUGGGUUAGAAAAAUAGUUAACGGUCGUACCUUAACUAUCGAACAAUUAAGGAAUCGUUGGCUGUUUAUCUCGUGCAUGACAACUAUAACUAGUCUAUUAAUAAAUGUUGGAAUUAUCUGUGAAUCGAUGAUCAGUGCAUGAACCAUUUCUGAAGUGUACCCUUGGUUAGAGUUCUCCCAAUUAAUUAUUUUGCACAUUUAAUUUAUUUAGUUAGCAAUUCAUUUGCAUUUUAUCUUAAAACCCCCCAUACUUUGAACUCUAGAAGAAACGAAUUAUCCCCAAUCCAUGUGGAUUCGACCCUACUCACCGCUGUAUACAAAAUCGGUAUUUCUCUUGAGUAGGUAAUUAUUAUUGCACAGGCUCGACACCUGUUAAUUUUUAAAAUUGAUAGGUUGCAUUUUUGUCUUUAAUUCUAUGAUUAUUUUCCUCUUUUAUUUUACCAAAUAUUGUAUUAAUUGAUAGAUUCUACUUAUAUUUGGUAUUUGGUACUAAUUGUAGGAAGGUGGAGCAAAAAGUCAUAAAAGAGGUGAUUUUUCAAGAGUUUCCCAAUUCAAAAUGGAGUCGACGUGGAUUAUUGGCAGAAAAUUAGGAGGAAGUCUAUUUGGUUUCAAAAAGCUAAAAAUUAGGAAAAAGAUAGGAUGACCAGGCCCGUGUGAUUACUACUAGAAAGAGUCAACAAUUACGAGGAUUGGGGACUUGGUUUUUCGUUUGACUUGUAGUAGUUUUCUAAAACAAUUCCUUAGCUUUUGCUAAUUUGGGGGAGUUGACCGAAAUUGGAGGAAACAAAGCAAAUAAGAGGAAAAAAGGCCGGAUACCGCGGGAUGACUACUCAGCCAGGGAUCUCACGGGAUUACUACUUGGCCUGGGAAUAAGAAGAGAAAAGGGGGGCGGCCGCUGGGCUCUCUGCUCCGCGGAGUAGUUCUUUUACUACCGAACAUUGACGCAAUUUCGUGAAGCGGACUUGUGUGAGUUACUCUCAAUGGAGAGUAACUAAUCUUGUUUUCUAGUCAAGGGGACAACUGAAGGUUUGGUUCAACAAUUACUGUGGGAUCGAAAUUAUUUUAAUUGCUUCCUCCAUUUAUUGGUAUUCGUAUGUUUUCUGCUUUUACUUGUUGUUAUAGCUAUCGUGUAUGAUUGAAUAGCUACGCAAUAUUUAAUUAUUCAUGUAGGCUAUUGUGCUAAUUAGGGGUAAUUGAAUCCGUAAUUGUUCGUUAUCUCGAUCUAAGUAGCAACUGGCGUAAUUGGGUUUGUGUUAGGGGAACAUACGAUCUAGCUUAAACAAACACUCGUAGCGUGUUUGUUAGUUAAAAUUAGGCCUUUCUAAUUAUUAAUGCAAACCAGAAAUUAAAUCCUACGGUCGUACUUAGGGUUGUUUCUGGUUUAGAAAAAUAGUUAACGGUCAUACCUUAAUUAUCGAGAAAUUAAGGAAUGGUUGGUUGUUUAUCGCGUGCAUGACAACUAUAACUAGUCUAUUAAUAAAUUUUGGAAUUAUCUGUGAAUCGAUGAUCAGUGCAUGAACCAUUUCUGAAGUGUACCCUUGGUUGGAGUCCUCCCAAUUAAUUAUUUUGCACAUUUAAUUUAUUUAGUUAGCAAUUCAUUUGCAUUUAAUCUUAAAACCCCCCAUAUUUUGAACUUUAGAAGAAACGAAUUAUCCCCAAUCCCUGUUAAGUGGCUAAUUGUGCAUAUAAUUGGUACAUAUUAUCCCCUUUAUUUUGCUAAAAUAUGGCGUUAAUCGAUGUAUUUCACUCAUAUUUGAAUUUCGGUACUUUUUGUGGGAGUUGUUAGUGAGAAUGAAGAAAAAGGCGCGUUAAAAGUCGACUUUACAGAAAAUAUUUUGUAAAGCGUGCCCACGUUUUGUCAAACUCGAAAUGAUGCUUCUAAAGGUCCAUGUCCAGAAGAUCUUUCGUUAUAAAGCGUGCCUACGCCUUAUUUGACAAAGCAGUCAAAAGUUCGCAGGACAUGAGAUCAAUCUGUUGAUUGAUCAAGAAGCCAGUUGCAGCCCAUGAUUUUACAUAUUAGUCACGGAAAUGGAUAUCUUGAGGGGUUAUGACUUGAUGUAAUUUAUUUUGGAAAUCAAUUGAUAGGUCUUGGUUGGUUAGUUUAGUUUAAGUAGGAGUCCUAGAAGGAAAAGGGGAUCCCGUCCUUAUUAAUAGGGGAGAAAACAGACAUGGGCAGGGGGCUUCCAUUGGCUCUUAUUCUUUUCCUCUUUUUCUCUACAAUAAACCCUAAUAUUCCUUACGGCCGCGAAUCUAUCAUGAGGAGUGGCUAAUCUCUUUUCUAGUUGAAGGAUAGUUGAAGCUUUGGUUCGACAAUACUGUGAGAUCUAAUUUGAUUUGUUUGCUUCGUUUAUUUAUGAGUAUUUGUUUAUUCUCUGUUCAUUCAUGACUAUGAUUAUUUGCUACAGUUAAAUACCUGAUCAAUAUUUAAUUGCUGAAAUAGUCUUUUGCCAUCUAAAAUAUCAAAUCCGUAAUUGUUUGAUGGUUUUAGUAUCUUUGGCGCGUGAUGUAAUUUGAUUGUAAAAAAAACUUUCGAAUCUAUGUCACGGGAAUAUAUAAUCUAACUUAAAUGAACCGAGCUUGUGUGUUUAUUGGUUAGAAUUGGUAGCUUCUCUAAUUAUUAAUGCUGUCAAUAGGUUAAAUCCUAAGAGCUUGUUUAGGGUUGCUUAAUUGGCAAGAGAAAUAACCACAGAGCGUGUUGUGGUUAUUGAAACAGUAAGGUGAUGUAGGUUGUCAGAGCGUGUUGACGACCAUAACCAGUUUAUUCAUGAAUAAGUGAUUUCACCUUUGCAUCGAUGAUCAGUUAAAUGAACCAAAGUGGAAAUUAGGCCUUCGAUUAGAGUAUUGUCUUUCAUUGGUUUAGUUUUAUUUAAUUUUGUGAUAUUGUCUUUAUUUUUAUUCACGUGAGCUAUUUAGCUAAUUUCUCCUAAUCCCCUAUUUUUCACAAAGAAAUAAAUCGCCCAAUCCCUGUGGAUACGACCCUACUCACCGCUACACUCAAAUCCAUAUUAUUAGAGUAGGAACUUUUAUUUUUGCUGGUUUGACAAGCCAACAAUCCUUGUGGAUUCGACCCUACUCACCGCAGUAUACAAAAUCGGUAUUUCUUUUGAGUAGGUAAUUAUUAUUGUACAGGCUUGACACCUGUCAAUUUUUGGCGCCGUUGUCGGGGACUGGUGCUUGAUUAAUUUGUUUCUUUUUGAGUUCAUCUUGUUUUCAUUUUUUUAAUUUUUCUCUUAUUUUUUUUAUAUAUAGUUUAUAGCUGCUAACAUUCCGUAUUUUGGUGAUCAACUGGAUUUUAUUUCUAGAAGGGGUUAUGAGACUCGUGUUUUUUCUAAUGAUCAAUGGGUUGUUGCAAAUUGUGAAACUUAUUUUGCCUCAAACCAUUCAAUCCACAUGUGCCAUACAUUUCAAGAUGGUCUAAGUGCUCCAAUCGAUACUUUUGAAGAUUUUUCACCUCAAUAUCAAAUAUGGUAUGACCCUUAUUUAAACGGGUAUGAGCAAGGAUGGUGGGAUGAUUCCACUUUUAAUUAUGAACAAAGGCCAAUAGAUUUUCAGCAGCUAGAGUCUCAAGAAUCGUCAUCCAUGUCAGGUAUGUCUCUUGAAGAAAUAAUUGAAUUAAUAGCUACUAACACAUAUCAAAUUCAACAGGAGACAAUGAAUCUUCAUCAGGAGACAAUAAAUUUUCAUCAAGAGACACAAGCGAGCAUGCGUAACCUGGCAGAUCAAAUGGAUCAAUUGACAUCUAGGAUAACGCAAUUGACUUCUCGAAUGAGUGAAGAAUUGCCCUCACAGACUAUUAUCGACCAUGAGGAAGAUAAGAGUGCAAUUAUUCUGACAAAUGACAUGAUACUGCGAGAAUCUCAAGAAGAAGGAUCUAAAAAUGCAAUUGAAAAGAAAGUUGAAGUGCAAGACAUGAGACCCCAAUAUCAAAUGGUUCAAGCGAAUGAAUUCAGUGAACAAUCUCCAAAUGCGGUGACAUCUCCUCCAUUCCUUAAUCAAUAUUUUCCCAACUCUUAUUCUUUAAUUCCUACUAGUGAAAUUGAUUUUAUUAUAUCAGAAGAUUUUAAAUUUCAUGACAGGAAUAAGUUAAGAGUUGCAAUGGCAAAAUAUCUCGAACCAAUAAGUGCUCAUGAUGGAGGAAUGAGUGAAGAUUUAAGGUCAUCACUUGUUUGUUUGGCGCCAUCUAUUAGUCCAUGGAAGACCGUAACUCGUGUACUCAAGGAUCACUCUAUUUUCGAUAGCUAUCAGGAUUACAUAGAAGAUGAAGCACUGAACGCCACAAGAUUUUAUCCUCCAUGAAUAAACAUGAAAAUGUCUAACCAAAGACAUUAAAGAAAGACGCUGCUUAGGAGGCAACCCAAGGCUUUUGUUUUAAUUUUCUUAUAUUUUUGGAGUUUUUGUUAAGUGUUAGUUGCAUUUACUGAUUUGUUUCUUUUGUGGCAGGAAGUUGGCAGUUAGACGUGCCCACGGUAGGUGGUCACGCCUAAGAAAGGAAGUUUUAAUUUGACGGACAGAAGACUACCCAACAAUUAGGCGUGCCUACGCCAGAUGGUCACGCUUAAGGAAAGCAAUUUUCGUCUGCGGUCAAAAGACUCUACAGUAAUUAGGCGUGCCCACGCCAAAUGGUCACGUUUAAGGAACUCAAUUUCCGAAAAUUGGUCAAAAGACUCUCUAGUAGUUAGGCGUGCCCACGCCAGGUGGUCACGCUUAAGGAUCUUAAUUUCGGACGGUUGGUCAGAAGACUUGAAGGCAGUUAGGCGUGCCCACGCCUAACACAAGGGUUCCUUUCAUAAAAAAAAAAAAAAAUUCCUUUCUUUUCUUUUUCUUUCUUUCUUUCUCUCUUUUCUUCUUCUCUCCCUUUCCUUUUUAUUCCUUUCUUUUCUUUUCCAGUUGCAAGACCGCAACCAAAGGACUUCAAAUUCCACUGCCACCGUUGCACUGUUCAACGUGGAUCGUCAGUUCCUGAUUAUCGCUGUUCAUCGCGCGUAAUUCUUCCUCAUCCAUCGUAAGCCACCUGACAUCCUUAGCUGCCGAUCAUAGCUUUCAUCGUCAUCAGUUUUGCCAUCGAGCUCUACAUAUCUUUUGCCUCUCACCUACAGUUGUGCCACAACCCCCCUUUGAUGACCAAGGAAGUUUCGUUGUCCCUUUUUGCUUUGAAUUUUAUUCUUUAUUACUUACAUUGGGGACAAUGUAAGAUUUAGGUGUGGGGGGAGUAAUAUAUUGAAAAAGUGCAAGUGUAGGCAUUUUUGUUGGAAUUUUUUGUUUGACUUUGUCCAAUUUUGUCCAAUUUUUUGCCUAUCUUUGUGCAUAUUUGUGAUUAUUCCUGAUAAACGAUGGUUAAAUGUCUCAAACUUUUCUAUUGCCAAGAUUUUAAACUCUAAGGUGUUAAGUAUAACAUGGUUAAGUUUAAGAGUAUCUUUUUGGUGAAUAUUUGAGAUUUUGUGACUUUUACACUUUUUGGUUAACUUAUCUAAAUAUUGUAAAUAUUUGUCUAGCAUUUUUUUAUACAAAUUGGUUCAACUAUUAAUCUUAGUUCUCCAUGUUUAAGAAAUAAAGCGGGUUUGUGUGAUUAUUAAUUUUAAUUUGGUGCUUAUUUAUGAAUAGUAUUCGGCUAUAUUCCGCUAGUAUCGUUGCCUAGUAACUGGAGGUUUUCACCACAAGUGUUGACUUUCGCGUUAAAAAGCGACGAUAACUAUGAGUAUGUGGUCUUUUAGCGAUAAAAGUUGAGUAACCGAGUUCUUUCAUUUGGCCAAUGUCGGAAUUCGCGUCAAAACGCUUAAAUGGUUAAAGACUAAGCAUUCCUCCCUGAAGAAAAAAAAAUCAAUCAAGUGUAGGGAUAUUUUGAAAAAAAAAAGUGCUAAUAGUGAAAAAUGUGAAUGAAUUGUUAACCCGCUGAUCCAUGAAUUUUAAUGUUGAGAUUUUGCUUAAUAGUCAAACCAUUUGCUUAUGAAUGCUAGUUGAAUAUUUUAUAUUCUUAGAUUAGUUAAUCAUAAAUUGAAAGAGUUCUUGAUCUUGAAAGCUAUCUGGAGAGAUAUUUCUUACAAAUUGCCACUAAUACUUGACAUAUAUUUUAAUUGUAUCUUAGCAAUAGAAGAUUUGAGCAAUAGUUAUUGUUUGAAUUUGAUUGCUUGAUCUGUUGUUCUCAUGCUUGAGGACAAGCAUGGUUUAGGUGUGGGAGAAAUUGAUAGGUUGCAUUUUUGUUAUUAAUUCUAUGAUUAUUUUCCUCUUUUAUUUUACCAAAUAUUGUAUUAAUUGAUAGAUUCUACUUAUAUUUGGUAUUUGGUACUAAUUGUAGGAAGGUGGAACAAAAAGUGAUAAAAGAGGUGAUUUUUCAAGAGUUUCCCAAUUCAAAAUGGAGUCGACGUGGAUUAUUGGCAGAAGAUUAGGAGGAAGCAUAUUUGGUUUCAAAAAGCUAAAAAUUAGGAAAAUGAUAGGAUGACCAGGCCCGUGUGAUUACUACUAAAAAGAGUCAACAAUUACGAAGAUUGGGGACUUGGUUUUUCGUUUGACUUGUAGUAGUUUUCUAAAACAAUUCCUUAGCUUUUGCUAAUUUUGGGGGGGGGGGGGUUGACCGAAAUUGGAGGAAACAAAGCAAAUAAGAGGAAAAAAGGCUGGAUCCCGCAGGAUGACUACUCAGCCAGGGAUUUCACGGGAUUACUACUUGGCCAGGGAAUAAGAAGAGAAAAAGGGGGCGGCCGUUGGGCUCUCUGCUCCGCGGAGUAGUUCUUUUACUACCGAACAUUGACGCAAUUUCGUGAAGGGGACUUGUGUGAGUUAUUCUCAAUGGAGAGUAACUAAUCUUGUUUUCUAGUCAAGGGGACAACUGAAGAUUUGGUUCAACAAUUACUGUGAGAUCGAAAUUAUUUUAAUUGCUUCCUCCAUUUAUUGGUAUUCAUAUGUUUUCUGCUUUUAAUUGUUCUUAUAGCUAUCGUGUAUGAUUGAAUAGCUGCGCAAUAUUUAAUUAUUCAUGUAGACUAUUGUGCUAAUUAUGGGUAAUUGAAUCCGUAAUUGUUCGUUAUCUCUAUCUAAGUAGCAACUGGCGUAAUUGGGUUUAUGUCAGGAGAACAUACGAUCUAGUUUAAACAAACCCUCGUAGCGUGUUUGUUAGUUAGGAUUAUGCCUUUCUAAUUAUUAAUGCAAAUCAGAAAUUAAAUCCUACGGUCGUACCUAGGGUUGUUUCUGGGUUAGAGAAAUAGUUAACGGUCGUACCUUAACUAUCGAGAAAUUAAGAAAAGGUUGGUUGUUUAUCGCGUGCAUGACAACUAUAACUAGUCUAUUAAUAAAUGUUGGAAUUAUCUGUGAAUCGAUGAUCAGUGCAUGAACCAUUUUUGAAGUGUACCCUUGGUUAGAGUUCUCCCAAUUAAUUAUUUUGCACAUUUAAUUUAUUUAGUUAGCAAUUCAUUUGCAUUUAAUCUUAAAACCCCCCAUACUUUGAACUCUAGAAGAAACGAAUUAUCCCCAAUCCCUGUGGAUUCGACCCUACUCACCGCUGUAUACAAAAUCGGUAUUUCUCUUGAGUAGGUAAUUAUUAUUGCACAGGCUCGACAUCUGUCAUACACUCAUUUGCUAAGUUAUGCAUGAAUGGUUGUUGUGUGGAAUUCAACGACUUCACUAUUCUAUGAAGUCUUAGAAUCUCGCCAUCGCUCUGCAUUAGUUUGAGCUCGAAUCUAGUAGAUAAAUAAAUGUGAAAUUCGAGAGUUUUUCCUCACACAAGGAAUUUUUCUAUGUGAGAGUGAGAAUUUUCUCUGUUUUUAAACUUUGUUUUGAAAGUUUUAAUUGGUAUAGACUAGAUCUAUCGCAUGCACAGAUCUUGUAAUCAUAGAAAUGUAUUGUAUUAUAGAAAAUUUUAGAGUUUUACGAAUUUUUUUUUAGAAUUGUAGGAAUUCAUAUAUUUGCUGUUAUGAAUACAUUUUCGGGAGAACAAAAUUAACUUUUCCUUUUCUCAAGAAAGAAAAUGGACAAAAAUUCAAUUGGACUCUAUACAUUCCCGAACGAUGAUGAGUAACUGGGAUCAGGUCACUAGGUGACUGGGCUCAUAAGCAUGACCGGUUACCCGUAUAAUGACGGCCGUUGAAACUGAAAAUUUUCGUCACAAAUGACACGGACGUUACGAACCACUUGGAGCCUUGGGCACUUUGCCAAGGCCCAAUCAGUAGACUCGAUUAAUUGGGCAAACUGCCCACUAAACCUUUUUAAACGUCCGGUUUUGGUCACACACAAAAAAACAAAAAAAAAUUUCUGGGUCAUUUCGAAUUAAUUAUUCAGCUAGCCUAAGUGCCUCAUUUUUCCCAUUCGUCUAAUUUCUGCCUUUAUCCAGAGAAUUUUCGUCUAUUGUCUUCAACGGUAUAGCCAUUUACGUAUAGAAGUGAGACAUAUUGAUGAUACGUGGGCAUUUGAGUAGAGGAAACCAACAAAAAUGCCUUCAAAUAGAUAAUGAACUUAGUUGUGGGGCACUAAGCAUUGGAUUAAUUAAUAGAUAAAAUUGAACAAAAUGGGUAAAAUGAGAUAUUUACUAUUAUUGGAUAAUCCAUUUGAGACCCAAAAAAUUAGGGUCAAUGACUACGAGAUUUUCUAAUUGCCGUUAUUCGCAUGUCUUGCGUUUUCUUUAUCAACCUACAAAGUGAUUAUGUAGGAGACAUCCCGCAUGAUUAUGUAGGAGACAUCCCGCAUCGGAAGGGAAGAGGAAAGGAAAUGGUUUAAGAGCUUGGCCCUAGGCUAUCUUGAAAUUUGGGUCAAUGAAUUUUGAUUCAAAAAUUAUUUGGGCCAGACCUUGGAUCGUGUCGUGAUAAUUAGUAUUAAAGCUAACAUGGCAUGGUCUCUGUGUGAGAUGAGCCUGUGCCAACGGAUUAUAAUUUUGAUGACGAAUGGAAGUGCAAGGAAUUAAAUGUUGUGCGGGGCUAAAUGCCUCUUCGGGUGGGAACCACUUAUAGAACUUGUAUGAGUCACUCUAGAGUCCGAACACAAUCAAAUAGGCAGUUUGAAUCUAACGGAUUUGGAUCGUAACAGUUGGUAUCACAGCGAACCUCGCCUGUCUCUAUGCGGGGUGAGAUUGGGCCAACGAGUCAUGGUUCCGACUACGCAAAGAAGUGCAAGGAGUUAAGUGCUGUGCAAAAUAAAGUGCCACGUCUGGCGGGGAUCACUUCUAGAGUCUGUACGAGCCACCUUUAGAGUUUGAACACGAUUAAAUGGACAAUCUAGAUUUUGACAGAUUUUGCGAGGAUGCAAAGUUCAACAGGUGGAGAGAAUGAGACAUCCCACGUUGAAAAAGAAAGGAAACGGUUUGAAAGCUUGGCUCCUUAGCUACCUUAAAUUUGGGUUAAUUAUUUUGGGCUAAUGGAUUUCGGUUCAAAAAUUACUUGGGCAGCUCUUAGAUUUGGGUCAUGACAACGUAUGUGAUGGUGCAUGUGAUAUCAUGCCCGCUAAUAUUAAUUGAAGUCGUUUACUUUUUUUUUUCUUUGGGUCAGUUAGCAUUUGAUUUUUUUUAUUCCCUUCGUUUUCGGUUGAGAGUUAUGAUGAGUUGUAGGAUUAACUUGUGCAGAGAAUGAUAGGAGAAUGCAUGAAAUUGAUCUCGAAGAAAGUUCAUAUGAUGACUUGACUUAAAGAUUAGAUCAAGAAUUGGUUGAGUCUGCUUAUCACAAUUUAUUAAAAUCCUUUAAAAGGUGGACUUGGUUUUUUAGUUUCAAAAUUGGCAUAUUUGUUUUCCAAUUACACAAAGAAUUGGUCAAACGAGUGAAGCUCUAUCACUAGCUUCGUUAAAGUGAGUGAAUAUUACGUCCACAAGUAUAAACAAGUAUAGAAAAUUACUCCUCACUAAUAUGAGAUGAAAUCAAGUUUUAGACAGUGCUCGAAUUUCGUAUAAUUAUGGAGAUUGAUUUUACUAUUAACAAGAAAUGGAAUUAUGGAGAUCCAUUUUUUUUUCUCGGAGAAGAGGGAUAGAUUUGUAAAUUAAGCGUUGACUGAAAGUUUCUUUUUUUUUUUUUUUUUUUGAAGGGAAAGUUGACUGAAGUUUCUACGCUAUGGGACAAUAUUAAGCAUGGACUAAAUACUCUUAUUGUAUAAUGUCUAUUGUGGAAGCAUAAGAUCCAAGCAUAGUGUGGAAGCAUAAAAAUGUUCAAGCAGAAUUGAGCCAAUUGACUACCUUUCAAAACAUUCAAUUCUUGUAAAGAAAGACUAGGAUUAUGUUUGAAUCAUCCAUUUAUUUUUUCAAAGAAAAAGCCUUAGAUGUCUUCUUUAUCAGUUCAUCGAACUAGCAACUUCAUCUUGAUGAUUCAGACCAGUAAGCAGCUGCAAAUCAAGAUUUCAAGCAUUAGUACGAGCAGACAUCCUUUUCCAUGCCAGUGGGCACAACGCAUAUAGUAUAACUUUUCUCUUGUUUCCGUUUUUUUUUUUUUUUUGGGUCUACAAUGGAUUCCGAAUGAUAGAAGCCAGUUAGCUUACAAGACUUCGUCCAAAAUAAAAGAACUCAUCUAAAACAGGCAAAAAAUAAUGAACUUCAACUUGUGGGCUGUAUUAAAUUCUCGAGUAUACCUGUAGCUAUCAAACUUGAAGAUUUUCUUGAUGUACCCUCAGACCAAGUAAAACAUCCUUAAUGAGAUGUAAUUUUCUGACAACUUCAUUCAUAUGCAUCCGAUCAUUUGGCAAUUUUGCAGAGCACUUCAGUCCAAUUUUCAAUAGGGAAAUAAUGCAAUCAAUCUCUCUUCCACCAUUAUUAGUUUCCUCUCCAUGAGUAAUUCUACUGUUUUCAUCUCUUCCUUCAGAAAGAAGCAACGGGUCCACGAUCUCGGAAACUUGUUCAUGCAAAACCCUGUUAACAUAGUUAUGUAUAUUUAACUCAUCCAUGAACAUAUCAUCUGUUGGUCUCCUCUUUGUGAUCAUUUCUAGCAAAAGAAUGCCGUAGCUGUAGACAUCCCCUGGAGUUGAUGCCGCAUGACCCAUUCCAUACUCUGAAUUUUUGUUUCUAGAUAUAUUAUUGUCAUGUUGUAAAGGAGAAACUAUAUAUAUAUAUAUAUAUAUAUAUAUAAAAUCUAAGGGAGUAAAUUAAAUAUAGCUUUUAUGUUUAAGUACUAGUUUGUAAAUAAGACUUGAUUGAAAUUGUUAAAAUGAAUCACUAUACAUUUGGGUCAAUUGCUUAAUGUCCCUAUUGUCUUAUUCUCAAUAAGUAUCUCCUUAAAACUAAUGUCAAUAUCAUCCAAUAACUUCACAAAAGAGUCAUUUACAACUUUUUGCAUUAAGUGCAUCGAUUAAUUAUUUGCUAUUCCUCAUCUCUUUUUUUUUUUUUCCUUUUCUAUAUGGAAAUCCGACAUUUUCUUACCUUUUGCUUCAAUAAUAUGUAUAUUUUUCUUGUUUUAUACUAUUAUUAUUUAAUAUUAGCGUUAAUUUGCAUUACAAAGUUAUGUUGACCUCUCCUAUAACUGUUUAACAGAAUUUUAUAUUCAAGAAGAAGUAUAAAAAGUUUAAAAAAUCUGAUGGAAAUUAUGAUAAAAAAGAAUAAAGAUAACCAGCGAAAGUGCCAACUUUAAGUGCCAAACAGUAGUCUGUGCACAAUUAAGGUUCCGUUUGAUAAAACUGAAUCUGAAUUCUGAAGUUUGAUUUCUGAAAUCUGAAUACUGAAACAAUUAAUUUGUUGAAUUUUAAGUACUGCAAAAAAAUGUAUGAAUGUCUGAAUUUUAAUGUUAAACCUAUUUAUACUGUUUGAUAAACAUUUAUAACUGAAUGCUUAAUAAGUUAAAUAUGAUAAAUUUGCCCUUAUAUUUUUCAUCCAAAAAAGAAAGAGAACCUAUGAUUUAAUUAGCUAAAAAUGUUAGGUAUGAAAAUGAUAAUAUAUAUUUUAAAAUUAAAUUAAUAUAAAAGAUGAAAUAUAUAUAUUAUAUGAGGAGUAUGGAAAAGCUGUGAAAAUCAUUCAAAAGGGAAAAAAAAAGAAAUAGAAAAUGAUUAGAUAGAGAAUAUUAGAUUGUUUAAUUAGAUAAGAAUUUUGAAUAUAAUUAACAAACAAGGGUAGAUUUGGUAGAUAAGAUAAGGUAAUUGAAAUAAUUCUAUUGAUUCUUAUCAGAAUGAAGCAUUCAGUUAGGAUUCUUGUGUUGAAAAAAAUACACACAAGUUCAGUACUACUUAACAAGUUCAGCAAAUGAAUUUUCAUUUAUCAAAUACUCAAAACAUCUGAAUGUCUGAAAAAAUUCAGAUUCAGCACUUUUUUAUAUUAUCAAACAGAAACUAAGUAACAUUUUGACUGUAAACAUUCGUAAUUACCUGGAGCUGCGUAACCGAUUGACCCUUUUACGGCUAUAGAACUUCUGGUUCCCUGUUCGGAAGAUCUGUUGUUGGGUUUUGGGAGAAGCCUUGCCAAUCCAAAAUCACCCACAUGGGCAACAAGAUCAUUGUCAAGAAGAAUGUUACUUGGUUUUAGAUCACAAUGAACAAUCUCUGCUUCGCAGUGGUCGUGAAGAUAUUGCAAUGCUGAAGCCACAUCAAUUGCAAUAUUUAGCUUCUGAAGAAGAUUAAGACUUCUUGAGCUUGUUGCUUGAUCAGUUGUCUCUGCAGGAUGCAACCACAAGUCCAGAUUCCCAUUUUCCAAAAACCCGUAGACUAGAGCUUUGAAUUCAUCACCCUUGGAAUCAAUACUGGAGCAAUAACUCACGAUAGAGACAAGGUUUCUAUGGCGAAUGUUUCUCCAUGUUUUGCACUCGGCCUUAAAACUUUUGGAAGCCCCAUUCUUUUGAAGAUCAAGAACUUUGACUGCUACAAGCUUGUUGCCAUGUUUUUCUAGCCUUCCUUUGUAGACAGAUCCAAAAUGUCCCGAACCAAUUAAGUUUCCUGGAGAAAAUCCUGAAGUUGCACGAUGAAGUUCAUGGUAAGAUAUUCGCAAGAGCUUAUUGACUCUUGUAGGCAUGCUAGAGAAUCCGGCCACCAGUCUUCUUUCUCUUUUUCGAUAUACCAAGAGAUAUAACAACACUGUACCAAGAACCAGAAGCAUUGCCGGUAAAACAAUGGACAGCAAUAUGAUAACCUUUAGCUUUCCUCUGUUUUUCCCCUUAAUCACUGGGCAAGGUGGGAACUCCAAUUCGGGAAUGCCUCCACAGAGUUUGUUGUUGCCAAUCAAUGAUAUUUGACUUGCAUUGCUGAAAAUCCCUGUGUUUGGUACCUCUCCCUCGAUGUCGUUGUAGGAAAGGUUAAAGUACCUCAAAUAUUGAAGCUUCUCAAGUUCCUUUGGUAUUGAUCCGGUCAAGUUAUUACUUGAAAGGUCUAUUUGCUGGAUGCUCUUCAAAGAAGCCAAAUUUGGUGAAAUUGUUCCUUGGAAAAAAUUGGCCUGCAUGGAAAGAUUCGCCAGACUUGAACAAUCAGCAAGUGAUAUGGGUAUAUCUCCGGAAAAUUGGUUGUGGGAAACAUUGAAAUCCACCAAGUGUAUAAGCUUUCCAACUUCCAGAGGCAGAGAACCACUAAACGAAUUUUCACCAAAUUUCAAGUACGUCAGUGAUGAGUGCGUCUGCAAAAAUUGUGGUGAUAUAAUUCCAGUGAAGUUGUUAUGAGAUAUAUCUAGAUAUUGCAAAUUUUGACAGCUCAUAAGAACAUUGUCAAAUACAUUGCCCCCUUCAAACUGGUUAAAUGAUAAGUCCAGAUGGUAUAGACCUGUGGCAUUACAUAGGGUAGAGACUAUCUGUCCUGACAACUCAUUUUGGUCUAGACUUAGAAAUUGCAAAUUUUGUAAUUUGCCAAAAUCACUUGGAAUGACACCAGAAAGUGAGUUUUCAUCAAGGGCAAGGAUAUAUAGGUUGACAAAGUUUCCAAAUCCUUGUGGAAUGGUUCCUGACAGUUGGUUUCCUCCCAAGUACAAUGAAGUGAGUUGAUUUGAGAGAUUGGCCAUGACUUUAGGUAUAUUACCUCCAAAAUUAUUGUUACUCAAUGAAAAAACGCUUAGAUCACUGCAGUUGGUCAAUGAUGCAAUAAAAUCUAAGUCUCCAGUUGAAUUACCGCCGAAGACGUUUUCUUCAAGAUUUAAAUAUUGAAGAUUUGUCAGAUCUCCUAAAUUAGCUGGAAUUUGGCCAGCGAACUUAUUGCUGGAAAGAUCAAGUUCCUCAAGCCCAGAAGCAUUGGUGAUUGAAGUGGGAAAGUUUCCAGAGAAAUUGUUCGACCCGACAUACAACACUUGUAGAUUUGGUAGGGCGAGACCUAUGUUGGUUGGGAGAUUGCCAUGAAAGGAAUUGCCGGCCACUGAAAUGAUCAUAAUACCUGAAUUAUUGAAGAUAGAGGCAGGGAUUAUACCAGAUAGUUUAUUUCCAGCAACUCCUAACAGAACCAACCUUAAGAGCCCCAUUUCCAUGGGCAAAUUUCCCUCCAGAUUGUUGAUGCCGAGAUCGAUUCGGAUCAAUGAUGAUAAGUUCCCAAUGGAAGAGGGAAUCUGUCCCGUCAAAUUGUUUGACAAAAGAUUUAAAUUUUCAAGCUUCUUCAUAUUGCUUAGCUGAUCAAUGGGAAAUUUCCCUUCUAGCUUAUUCCCCUUUAGGCUAAUUGUUACCAACUCUGUGCAGUAGCUCAGGUUUGCUAGGAUUUUUCCACCGAGUGCGUUUCCUGACAGGUUCAAAACUCUUAGCCUGAAGAGGUGACCGAAAUCUUGGGGAAUCCCACCAUGGAAUUGAUUUCCCCCAAGUUCCAUGAACCUCAUGAAGCUUAGAUUUCCGACAUGAGGAGAUAUGGUUCCAGACAACUGGUUAUGGCGUAGAGUCAAGGCUAUGACCCUCUGAUGUCGAGCACCACAAGUGACUCCUUCCCACCGGCAAUGGUGCUGUGAGUGGUUCCAGGAAUUCAGCGCUCCAAACGGGUCGUCAUGUAUCUGAUUCUUGAACUCAAGCAGAGCCACGCGAUCGGUCUCAUUUUGAAAUUGUUUUGCUGCUGAAACAUGGUUUCCUGGAAAGUUCAUGGCAACUACGAGUAGGAGAAAAAUGUUAGCUAACGUUGAUGAGCGAAAUCCCCACAUGGUAUUUGGAAUUUCGAUGGGCUGUGAAGGAAAGAUGGAUUAAUUUGAAACAAAAUUGAUGAUUGAAUGGUAAAAGUGUCUGUGGAAUGAGAACAAUGUUUUGUAUAUAGCCCACACAAUUGGAACUAAUGGGACUUAAUUUUCUUGGUAUAUUUUUGUGGAAUUUGAGCUAAACCUCGUUGAGAUGAUGGAGAUUAAAAGCCUAAUUUUUCCAAAUUACAUUUCAAUCUUCCCGGAGACUAGGAACCUUGGCUUAGUGUUAGGUCUAAUCCCAAAAAAUAGACCAAUAAGAAUAAUAGGAUUUUUGACAAUUUAACAAUGACAAUGACAAAACCAAUAAAUCAAACAGAAAGAAACAAAAUUUUAUGUGGUUUGGUCAAAUUGAUCUAUAUCCACGGGUGAAGGGGUAGCAAAUUUACUAGAACAUAAAGAAAGUACAAAAGAGAAGAGAAUACAAAAUUCUAGAAAAUAAUUUCUAGACUCGAAAGACACUUAAAACUGAAAACACAAAAGAACCUAACUAACAUUAAAUGUUUAACGGUCCAAAAGCCUAUAAGUUUUUUUUUUUGUCAAAACAAAAGCCUAUAAGUUGCUCUUUUGGUUUGAUGCCUAAAUAAAAUCUCUCUUAGAUUGGGUCAUGGGGCCCUUAAAACUCUCUUGAAUUGGUGCAUACGACACUUGGGAUAGUACCUUUAGCAUAGUUAAACUCAUUUAAAUCCAUUAUAUUUAUAACUAGCAAGAGGAGAGAUUUUUUUUGUAAAAUUUCCUGAUAUGAGAUACAAAGAUAAACUCAACAAUUCUAUAUCUUAGCGUGCAUCCAACAUUGGUAAAUUGCAAACAAAUAGCAAAUAAACUCCACAUCCUCCAUAAAUGUCCUAACGGAUCCCAACAAACCACCAAAGUUCUAACAGAUCCCAAUGAGCCACCAACGAAUCAGGGUGCAAAAAGCUCAAUGGAUUCCAACGGGUCAAAACUCAUAAAAGGUUCAACAGAUCCCAACAAACUAAAAAUCAUGAACAUAGUAAUCUUACUCCACCUUCCUCACAAAACCUUCAACGAGUUCCAACAGGUCAAAUAGCCCUUCUUCAAAACCAAUUGAACUCCAGUAAAAAUUUUUUCUUCACUUUUUUUAGUGAUCAAAAUCUGUUAUUGUCAUCAAGAACCCAAAACCUGAAGCUCUGAUACCAAUUUAUUAAGUCUGAUUCCAGAAAAUUGACCAAUAAGAAUAAUAGGGUUCAAAAGGAUAGCAGAUUUACUAUAACAUAAAAAGAAUACAAAAGAGAGAGUAUAAAAUCCGAUAAACUAAUUUUUAGGCUUGAAAGGCAUCUAAAAUUAAAAAUACAAAAGAGUCUAAUUAGCACUUUGUUCAUGGCAACUAAGAGUAGGAGAAAAAUGCUCGCUAAUGUUGAUGAUGAGAGAAAUCCCCACAUGGUAUUUGGAAUUUCGAUGAGCUGUGAAGGCAAAGAUGGAUUAAUUUGCAACAAAUUGAUGAUUGAAUGAUAAAAGUUUCUGCGGAAUGGGAACAAUACUGUUUGAGCUGUUAUAGAAUCUUGUGUAUAGCCCACACAAUUGGAACUAAUUUUCUUGGUAUAUUUCUGCGGAAAAUGAGCUAAACCUCGUUGUGAGAACUUAAUAGAGAAAUGGUCAGUAAGCUUCCACCAACUUGCAAUUUACGCAUAUCGACCAUGACUAAUACUUUUCAAAGCUGGGAUUAAUGUGAUCAUCUACCAGAGAUGAUGAUUAACAGGAAGCCUUCAUUUGUGUGGCGUACUUGAUCUUCCCAAUUAACACAAAUCACAAGAAUCUUGAUAGUCUUAGGUGAUGUUCCCAAUUUUUCCCCUUUUUAUGUUGUUUUAAUGCCAUUUUCUCAAAAAAAAUUUAAUUUUUUUAAAAAAGAAGGGUUUGUUUUUGAUGUUAUAAUUUUUAGUUUGUUCUCUUUUUUAUGUUGACUUAAUGUCAUAUGUGCAUAUCAGGUGUCUGCUAGAUUUAGAAAAAAAAUUAAAGUAAUGUUCCAAUGUUACCCCUAAAAUCUAUAUCAGAUUGUCAUCCUGAAGCUAAUUUACUUCAUUUUAGAAUGUGUGAUAGACAAGAAAAAGAUUUUUUUUUUUAAAAAAAAAAGAAACAUGAGAGAUGAAACAAUUUGGUGGUCCCAAGAUUUUUAAUGAAACGGAAAAAUAGUUGGUGAAGACUAUCAUUUAAGAUAGCAUAUGGUAACACAUGGUCCGCAGCUGCUGGAUAAUAUUGCCUAGAUGUCAAAAAGAUAUUGAUACCCUUAAGAGUUAAUCAUAGUAAAUCCCCUUAACGUUUAGUCAUUUUUCCCUUCACCCUUUAAUGUCAUCUUUCUCUUAAUUUGUCUACUUGUCCCUAAAAUCAUUAGUCAAUUCUAAUAUUUUGAACUACUCAAAACAAAUAAUGUCUAAAAAAAUAAUAAUAUCCCUAAUAUAAUAAUAAAAAUUAUUAUGUAUUUAUGGAUAUAGAUCUUGUUAAAUUUUAUCCCCGUAAUUACAUAUAUUUUAGAAAAAGAAAAAUAUCUCGCUCAUCUCACAUGAUAAGGAAAAAACAUAUUAGUACAAAACUAAAUUAUAAAAACACUAUUAAAGAUCUAUAGAUGGGUUUGCUUGGAUUGGAGAUUAUUUGGAAAAUUUUUUAGAAUAAAAGCAUUUUUGCAAUUUGACAUUUGUGAGAUAAAAAGGUGGUUAAAAAUAAAAGUGAUUGAAAAAAGGUGUUCAAAUGCAAAAAAAAAAAAAAAAACUUUUAGAAAAAUUUAGCAAUCCAAAUAAAUUUUAGGGUAAAUUACUUAUAACCCUCUUGUAAUUUUACACAAUGCCAGGUGACCCCCCUAAGGUUUCAAAAUAGCCGCAUAACUUCCCCAUGAUUUUAUACAAAUUGAAAAAUGGAUAGAAUAUACAAUCAGUGACAUGUGCCAAACCUGUACAAUAAUAAAAAUAAACCUAGUUGCCAAUAAAAGCAGUCAAUAAUUAAUUCUAGAUAUUGGAGCAGGGACUCUAGGUGUGCAAUGAGUUACUUGAUUCACCCUGUUCCCGAAAAAUUUGCUUAAUCCGAUAUACCAGAAUUAAUUAAUUGACAAAAUUUAUUAACUAGUAGAUAGUAGCAAGCAUGGUCGUCUCCUCAGGGACUGGGGAUAUUUGUCUCUUUGAAGUUCCAAUUGGUAAAAAGAAGGGUUGUAUCGGAAUAAAGCUAAAAAUAAUUAAGCAAUUCACUAAAACGAAUAAUUAACUAGCACGAAUGUAGACAGGAAUUAAAUCAAGAAUAGAUAAAUUCUAGCCAAGGAUACAACUAUUCAGACAUAAUCCAUUCAUUCGAUCAUUGAUGCAAGGAAGGUUCACUUAAUUUAUUAAUAGGUUAGUUAUAGUCGCCGACGAACUCUGACGACCAAUUUUUCCUUAAUUUAUCGGUAAUCAAGGUACGACCAUUGAUUAUCCCUAACCAGAAAAUACUCUUAAGUACGACCGUAGGAAUUAAUUCCCCAAUUGCAUUAAGAGCUAGAAAAACCUAACUCCGAUCAAUAACAUGCUACGAGGGUUAUUUAAAUCAGAUUGCAUGUUCCCCUAGGGUAUAAAAAUGCUAGUUGCCACUAAUAUUAAUCAAUUUAAACAAUUAUGGAUUUAAUUGACUAAUUUGACAGGAAGUUAAUAAGUCGCAUUGAACAUCGAUCCCUUGACAUUCAAUUAACAAAAUAAUCCCGUAGAAAUUCAAAUAGACAACAUGCAAAUAUUAACAAAUUAAGGAACGCAUGAAAAUUAAUUCGAUCUCACAGAUAUUCGGGACUGCGUCGUUGCGUUGAUUCUUGACUAGAUGAAAAGCUUAACCACGCCGCAUAAAUAAAUCUCCACGCAAAGUAAUUGAUUCACAAGGCAUCCCGUCUUUCACUAAAAAGCAAGAAGUAAAAGAUGUUUUCCAGUGGGGAAUAAAGCCGAACAGUCGGCACGCAUGAACAAGGAAGAAGAAAGGAAAACAAAACUAUUGCUCCAAAAAAACCAUUUCACAAGAGAGCCAAAGUACCCAAAAGAAAGCUCUGCCGAAUUCCACUUUUCUAGUUUCCUAUUGCUAGUUAAAGACUUCAAUGCUCAAAACACUCCUAAUCAGCAAAAGGGAAUGCAAUCCGUUUGCAGCUCCAUGUGGGCCAGGGUUUGUGAAGGCUUUUGGAGUCUCCCACGUGUGGAGCAAUUUUCUCCAACAGGUCCCCCUUUUUAGCCCUUUUUAGUUUCAUUUCCUGUAGAGAGGUCCAAAUACCAAAUAUAAGUAUUUAUUAACAAUUUAAACCGAUAUUUGGUAAGGACAAAGGAGGAAAUUAAUAAUAAAAUUACUAACAAUUAACACCCUAUCAAUUCCCCCCAUACCUAAAUCAUGUUUGUCCUCAAGCAU
Molecule: long non-coding RNA, 63004 nt
Filed under: Coffea arabica (coffee)
Lineage: Eukaryota; Viridiplantae; Streptophyta; Magnoliopsida; Gentianales; Rubiaceae
Description: long non-coding RNA (CARA_LNC005746)
Source: RNAcentral